Podarcis lilfordi (Lilford's wall lizard) is the source of this 46268-nucleotide non-coding RNA. NCBI's taxonomy places the organism in Eukaryota, Metazoa, Chordata, Lepidosauria, Squamata, Lacertidae. The record is from the annotation of a GenBank genome assembly.
CACUUGGUGGGGGACCUGAAGCUGGGCUGGGCAGCUCUUUGGGAUCAGUAGUCCAGUAAUAGGAUCAAGUGUGCCCAUCAGUGCCCAUGAGAAGGAACUCUGAAGGUAGGAGGAGCUCCAAGGCCCAGAGGAGAUGAGUGGCAUAGAAAUACUGUUGUUGUUGUUAAUAAUAAUAAUAAUGUUGUUUAGUCGUUUCUGACUCUUCGUGACCCCAUGGACCAGAGCACGCCAGGCACUCCUGUCUUCAUUAAUAAUAAUAAUAGCAUCACCUGUCACUGGUGCAUGUGGCUUGGCUCCCUGGCUUGACUUGUCCACAGAUGUUGUCAGCUUGGUAAGUCCUCAGCUGUGGUCCCCAGAUUAUAUUUACUGUUGUGAAUAACUGGUUGGUUACAAGUGCCCCCCACCCUCCUGCCCCAGACUGGUGCUAGCAUGGCUGGGAGCCAGGCACCUGCUGAUGUCUUCAUUUUCUUUGCAGGAAGGGAGCCUUCCCCCAACAUAUAUUUUGUUCUGGCCAAAUCCCUGGAAAGACGUGGUGACUCUCAGGUAGUGGGGCAGAGGGAAGGAAGGGGUCCUUCUGAAACAGCUUUUGGAGGGUCAUAGGAACCCUGUCCCCACCUGUGGCUUCCAGCAAGUGCUUUUCAGAAGCAUUGCUCUGGAAGCUGAGCAUAGCCAUCACUGCUACUUGCCUUGGAUGGGCCUCUCCUCCAUGAGAUUGUCUCACCCUCUUUGAAAGCCACCUCAUCCAAUAUGCUCUUGUGGGGCAUCUGAUUCUCCUAGGCUUCCAUAUUCCUGCAAGGAGGCAGAUCUUGCAAAAUCAGCAGUGGGAUCUUGUUCUCUCACCUUACAAAGUUCCACCUGGUUCGCUAUUGCAUAUGUACAUCAUUCCUUGACAAUUACAUAAAGCCUGCAACAUUGGAGCAUCUCACUUAUGUGCAUUUAGCUUUAUGUUCUUGGCCAAAAAACCCAAAGAAUCAAAAAGAGGACAGAAAGCAGGCAGGUGUCCAAGAAAAAAGACUUUGGCUAUCCCACCCAGCUCUGAACCCCAUGUGUUUUGCCCAUACAGUCUUACCUCAGGGUGAAGUAGCUUCGGGAUAAAUAUUUUGGGGGUUGCUCGCUGCGGUGACCUGGAAGUAACGGAGUGCGUUAGUUUCAGGUUUUGCCAUGUGCACAUGCACAGAUGGUCAAAAUGAUGUCACGUGCAUGUGCAGAAGCAGCGAAUCGCGACCGGCACAUGUGCAGAUGAGCGGACGCAAGUUGCAUUCGCUUCUGGAUGCGAACAGGGCUCCGGAACGGAUCCCGUCCACAUCCAGAGGUACCACUGUACGUGAUUCUGGUUGGAGGCACGAUCCCCAGAACAUAAUCCCCAUGAAAGUGGCAGGCUUCCUGUUGAGAGCAUCUACCACACCGGACAUUUCAAGGCCUUUUCUACCAUUUUCACAGUCUUGGCUUCCACCUAAUUCAGCCUAAGUUAUACUUAGUGUAGGUCCAUUGAAACUAAUGGUCCUUACUUAGUCAAGUUCAUUAAUUUUAAUAGGUUUACUGUUGGUAAAAUUUAGUUGACUUCUAUCUCAACAUUUCUAACCGCAGAUAAACAGUCUACUUUUGAUUUUUUACCCACGAAGCACUCAUUUCCCAUACUUUUACCAGAAAAUAGAUAGUAAAUCUUCUUUAUUGCUUAAAAAAAAAGAACACCACUAUUUAACUUAGAUUUGCUUCUAGCAAUCCUUAAUUACAUUCUUAUCAUUUCAAAUUAAUCUGGUAGCGUUUGCUAUGUGUCUAAGAGAUUCCUUCAAUAACCUUUCCCUAUGACUAAAGGGGUUGGGAAAAUAGAAUAUAAUCAGAUUGAUUUACUUUGAAGGCUUACAAAAACUUGUGCAGAACUCUAGCCUAACCAGCUAUAAAACCAGACAGACUAAGAUAAUUUUUAUGAUCAGUCAGCUAUGGUUUAAAUUAUGUAUUUGUCAAGUGACAGUGAUAGAAAAUUUGCAUGUGCUUAAAUAAAUGAACAUAUGCAAAUAAAUGGUGGUGGUCAACUGUUCUUUCCAAAAGAAAUAGAAGCCUAGACUCAAAGAGAAGAGAUCUCUCAAUACAUGGCCCAACGAGGGUGUGGCUCUUCUGAUCAUUGUUUUUCUGAGAGCUAUUACAUUUAUGCUAAUAAUAAACAUAUGGUAAACAGGACAGGCUCUGAAAUCAUGUCUAGAAUCCAGUUCUGCCAUCAACAGAAAGACAAUGCAGUAUGUGAUAUAACACACCAUUUUAUCUCUCCCACGAAAGCCUGUUCAAAUGAACUGGAUAUUUGUGGACCCAUAGGCUUGCCAUAUGUCAGGAAUAUUCCUGACAUGUUCUGGUUUUUGGGUUUAAAAUGAAUGAAUGAAUGAAUCUUUAUUUGCGUCAGCCAUCGGCCAUAGCAAUAAAACAACAAUACGAUGUACAAAGAGUAGAACUAAAAAGUCAAUUAUAUAAAUUACAUUUUAGGGUUUUGAAUCAAUAGUGAAAUGGUGGAUCUUAUUCUGAUUGCCCCAGCUAAAAACCUUGCACCCUUUGCUGUCACCUGCUCAUCUUGAUCUGCCAAGAGAAAGGACACUGUGGCAGUGGUUGGGCGACCCAGAAUGGACAAUAAAAGGGGGGGUGAUAAUCUCAAUCCUCAAGUCUUUAUAAAGAGUGCAAGCCAGAAAGGCAUGCGCCACCAAUUCAGUACUAUCAUCUCCACAGGGACAUAAGCGUUUUUCGUGUGGAACCUGUUGGAAUCGGGUGCAAAAAUGAUGUCGGGGGGGAUUUUGCCGAAUUGGCAAAAUGUCAGGGAAAACCCGGAUGUAUGACAACGUAAUGGAAAGCUCCAAAAGCUUAAACUCACUAUUUUGGGUUUGUUCCCCCAAAAAAACUCAACAAAUUUUGGUGGGUUUCUAAAAAAAAAAAGCUGAUGUCAGGAACUUUACUUUUUGAAAUAUGGUGACCCUAUGGAUCUAUUAUGUAUGCAAAGCUAUGUUAAAUUCCAUCAUGCUCUGAGAAUGCUAUGGGUACUGGACAAAGAAGUAACCAUAUAUGCAGCAUAUAGUAAGUUCUUGUAAGUAGCCACUCACUUUGCUUUUUCCAGUACAAUGAGCUACAGAUUCAAUUCUCCUAUGACUACACAUGUCUAUUUCCUUGGAGCCCUGUGUUUAGGAAAGUCAACUGCAAACAACUUGGAACUGAAUUUGUGUAUUUCAUAUUGGGGUGUAACUGCUAUCAUAAGCACUCUUAGAUUUUGUUUACAAAGGAAUUUUGUGCAUAUGUAGUAGGGCUGCAAAUGGGGCCCGAGAUUUGCCCUGCACUUGCCCUGUUUUUUGUUUUUAAAAAAGUCAGAUUGGUUUCUGAGUCGCUCUCUGCCCUGUGUUAUUUUUCUGUGAUUUGACUACUGAAGCAUUCUGUGUACAACAAAGCUCUGACCCAAUCACUCUUAUUUGUAAUAUUUCCCCUUUUGGGGCAGAAGCAGAUGAAAUUUGCAGGCACAAAGCCCUUCCAGAGUGUGUUAAAAUUGCAGGCCCAGGGGCUUUUGUGGAGGAAGUAAAACAAAUUCACUUUCCUCCAUCAUCCAUAUUAGGACAAUACUUUUAUCAGGCCAACAAAAACUUCAAAAUCCAUACUUUUUAAAUAUUUUUGAAGGAAGAAUAAGAGUUCAUCUCUUACUGUAAAACAAUUAAGUGAUGUGUAUUCUUGCUUGUACAUUGAGAAAAAGAAAUAGCAACUUCAGGUUAGCCAGUAUAGAUAUCUAGUGCUUGCUUUGUUGAGAGAGAAUAUUCUCCAUUUGGCAUUACAGGGUGAGACUGUGCUUAAUGCUGCCUGUGAAGAUUUGAAUUCAUUUAAAGUAGCUAGGUGUUCCCUUACUGCUUUUCCUGUAUUGGGCUACAUCUUCUUUCUUGCAUUGUUUAUUCCAUUGUCACUAGGUUGGGCACUUCUUUCAUUUUGAAUAAAGACAGAGGCAAAGCAGGUGUUGAGCAUUUCCACCUUUUCUCUGUCACCCAAGAGCAUUUCUCUGUCUUCCCCACGCUGAGGACUUAGUACUUGCUUGUUCUUCCUCUUGCUUUGAGCAUAAUCGAGGAAACCUUUUAUAUUAUUUUUAACUUCUCUUGCAAGCCUGAGAUCAUUCUGAGCCCACCUGACUGCCCCUCCUGCAGCUGUUGACUACUUCAUGAUUUCCCCUUACUUUCAUUCCUUAUACAUGUCCUACCUAAAGUUUAGCUUUAAGGGGGCUUUGGCUACUGAGCUGUAACUUAGGAGGGGGGAGAUAUCCUCAAAUACCCUUUUAUUCAGCCCCAAAACAGAGGCAAUGCACACUUCUAGUGGAUUCUUCCUGCCUACAGCUUCUCAAAUUAGCAGCACAUCAUUCGGAAGGAUAAGAAAAACCUCCUGUCCCUUUACUGAGUUUCUUUAAUCCAUGAGAGACUUUCCUUAAUUCAGAGAAUGUGUUUUUGCUCACCUUCCUGUUCCAUUCCAUGUCUCAUCCCAUAGGAAACUUUUCAGUAUUUGACUCCUGUGAAUAGUUAUGUUAUCAGCCCUAGCAAUUCAAGCAGGUAAUCUAAUAAGCACAGAUGUUGCCAUGUGAAAUCAGUUUUUACCUACCUCGACCAGAUGUAAUGUAUUCAUUAGUGCCUUUGGGUAAUGUAAUAUUGAUUUUUUUUUGGUAGUAUAGACUAUGAACUUCAAACUUGGAGUUUCUUAACAUUAAAAUACAAAAUUAAUUUAGCUAAGGCACAGGUGAUUACAUUGUACCAUUAAGAAUGCAGUUAAAUCACAUAUUUAUUGUUGCUUGACUUCCUCUUUUUUCUUCUUUUUAUUACCCAAGUCUCCAAUAUUAAAUCAUGGCGGUGAAUGGUUUUACUGACAUGGCAUUCAUUGGCACCGCUUUCAGAUCUAAAGAAACUGCAAGUUAACAACUGCUAAAAAUAAGUUAGUCCUACUUACAAUGCCAUGGACUUGAGAGGUCCUUAUUACUUUCAUACUGGUUUAGAGGUUGAUGUUGUUUUUCCUGAUAGGCAGAAAUUCAGGUUGUUGUUUUUGCUUCCAUUAAGCUAAAUGGUGGAGGCCUUAGCUUUGAAUUUCUUCCUCGCCAUAUAACUCUUAAAGGCAUAGGAAGCCUGCCAAACAAAAGAUGGCAACUUUCAUCUAUUAACCAGCUAGUGAAGAAUGGGAAACAAAUGUAAAAUAAAAUAAUAACGAUGUGUUCUUAUACAUGCUGCCCAAAACACAAUAUCCUGUCUCAGGCAGCCAGUGUGGUGUAGCUGGACCUGGAAGAACAGGAUUCAAAUCCCCACUCAGCCAUAAAAGUCAUUGGGUGACCUUGGGCCAGUCAAUCACUCUUAACCUAACGUCUCUCACAGGGUUGCUGUCAUGGGGAUUAAAUGAGGAAGGAGGAGAACUAUAUAAGGCAUCAUGAGUUAACUGAAGAAAUAGAUAAAUGAUCAGUCCGCUACUCACUUGGAAAUAAGCCCCAUUGAAUCCAGCAGUUACUUUUCUCAGAAGCAAGCGGCCAGGAAAAACCCUGCCAGUCUUGGUAUUUUGCCAGCACCAGUUGCAGCGAACCUCUUGGGAGUAGGAGAGGCUAAGACAUUUGUGGCCAAUUCACUACAGUGUUACCUCGGGUUACAUAUGCUUCAGGUUACAGACUCCGCUAACCCAGAAAUAGUACCUUGGGUUAAGAACUUUGCUUCAGGUAAAGGUAAAGGUACCCCUGCCCGUACGGGCCAGUCUUGCCAGACUCUAGGGUUGUGCGCUCAUCUCACUCUAUAGGCCGGGAGCGAGCGCUGUCCGCAGACACUUCCGGGUCACAUGGCCAGUGUGACAAGCUGCAUCUGGCGAGCCAGCGCAGCACACGGAAAUGCCGUUUACCUUCCCACUAGUAAGCGGUCCCUAUUUAUCUACUUGCACCCGGGGGUGCUUUCGAACUGCUAGGUUGGCAGGCGCUGGGACCGAACGACGGGAGCGCACCCCGCCGCGGGGAUUCGAACCGCCGACCAUGCGAUCGGCAAGUCCUAGGCGCUGAGGUUUUACCCACAGCGCCACCCGCGUCCCUUGAGAACAGAAAUCGUGCUCCAGCGGUGCGGUGGCAGCGGGAGGCCCCAUUAGCUAAAGCGGUGCUUCAGGUUAAGAACAGUUUCAGGUUAAGAACGGACCUCCAGAACGAAUUAAGUACUUAACCUGAGGUACCACUGUAUUUCCAUCACAUUGCUCUUUAAGAGCAGAAUCACUGUAGGACCAGGGUGAUACCCUUUAGUGUACAAUAGGUCUCAUUAUUAGAUUGCUCUGAGGGCUGUUCCUAGAUGGUCAUCUCAGAUAGCUCAGUCAGUAGAGCAUGAGGCUCUUAAUCUCAGGGCCAUGGGUUCAAACCCCACCUUGGGCAAAAUAUUCAUGCUUUGCAAGGGGUUGGGUUAGAUUACUUUUGUGGUCUCUUCCACCUCUACAAUUCUAUAGCUGAGAAAUGGCUGGGUUGACUCCAAGUGCUCCUAUUUUCCAGCCCAUCCCAACUUCUGAUUUGAUCGCUGAAUGUCCCACUUUUCCUUAAAGGUAAAGGUAAAGGGACCCCUGACCAUUAGGUCCAGUCGUGACCGACUCUGGGGUUGCGGUGCUCAUCUCGCUUUAUUGGCUGAGGGAGCCGGUGUACAGCUUCCGGGUCAUGUGGCCAGCAUGACAAAGCCACUUCUGGUGAACCAGAGCAGUGCAGGGAAAUUUCGUUUACCUACCCGCCGGAGCGGUACCUAUUUAUCUACUUGCACUUUGACAUGCUUUCAAACUGCUAGGUUGGCAGGAGCAGGGACUGAGCAACGGGAGCUCACCCCGUCGCGGGGAUUCGAACCUCCGACCUUCUGAUUGGCAAGUCCUAGGUUCUGUGGUUUAACCCACAGCGCCACCCGACAUCCCUAUUUUCACUGGAGAAAUGUUGGAGGCUAUGGAGUUAUCCAACCCCCCGAGCCAUCUGUAGGCAAUCUGUAUAGGGAGUUUUUUUAAACAAACAAACAAACAAACAAACAAACAAACAAACAAACAAUGUUUUAUUGUGUUCUUAUAUAUGUUGGAAGCUGCCCAGAGUGGCUGGGCCAACCCAGUAAGAUGUAUGGGGUAUAAAUAGCAAAAUUACCAUUGUGGAAUGGGACAUCCCUAUUUUCAUUGGAGUGACUGGCUAUGGCAGGGGUGGGGAACUUCAAGCCUACAGGCCUAAUGAGCCCCAUCAGGCCUUUCUAUUUGGCUUAAGAGGCCAUUUCAGCCAAGCUUUCGCCACCUGCCCUGCACCUGAUAAGUGCUGUAUGAUGCUAGAUGCAGCGCAGAUAAAGGCAGGGCUUGGGUGAAAGUUGCAUUUCAGGUACCACCAAUCAGUUGAUGGGUAGUUCCUGCAUCAACUUUUGAGCAGUGCGUCCCAGGCACCAACUACCAGUUGAUUGUUUGCACUUCAGAAGUAUACAUGCACAGCUUUCACUGUGCUGAGAAUCAGCUGGUUUUUGACACUGAGGAAGCCCUGUCCCCAGUGCUUCCCAAGCAUCGAUGAUCAACUGAAUUUGGGAACGCGGCAUCCUUUUUAAAUCAUACUGUUGGAUUUCAAACUAGAUGACCAGAAUUGGUCACGUGGCAACACCGCAGCAGCAGUAAUAGAUGGCCAACCCUGUAUCCUGUGUGUGUUGAGAUCUGGGAGUCUAGCACUCUCCAAUGCAGGCAUAGGCAAACUCGGCCCUCCAGAUGUUUUGGGACUACAACUCCCAUCAUCCCUGACCACUGGUCCAGUUAGCUAGCGAUGAUGGGAGUUGUAGUCCCAAAACAUCUGGAGGGCCGAAUUUGCCUAUGCUUGCUCCAGUGCUUUUGGGGAAGCUAAAUUUCAAGUGGCUUUUAGAUAUGCAAUGAAAUUCAGCUGCUGAGAUUUUCUAUUGCCUUUUUUUUGGUUUGGAUGAUGUAUUGUGUUUUAUAAACUUUUCUUUUUAAUUCAGAAGUUUCAAGAGGUUAUUUCAUUCUAUAGCGAGUGGCAUGUUCUUAUUUUAAUGUGUAAACUGCCUUGGAGGAUUUUUAAUUCACAAAGGUGGCAUGAAAAGUUUUAAAAUAAAUAAAAGCGCAACAAAUAGAAGGAUAGAUAAAUAUAACACAUUACGGGAGACAAUUAAAUGAAAUAAAGCACACUGCAACAGCAGCAGCGUAUAAACCAGAUGGCAGGCAAGUUGGGUCCAGAUUCACUGACAGCCUGUCUAAUUGAAAUGGACAUAUGGAUGGGAGAGAAAGGAAAUAAGGAACUGACAGGUAUGGUCAGGGACCAACACUGUAGCCUCACAAAGCCCUGGAAAGCUAGUCAGCUGGCAAGUUUGUCCUAAAGCCUAACGUGCAAUGACGCAUUCCAUUUCCCCAUGUUAGAAACAGCAUUUGCUGCCCUAAACCAUUUCAACAGACUAGGGGUUGUAUCCAGUGAGGGCACAGAGGGUGCUGCAGGCAAAAGGAGAGGAGAAUUCCAUUGUGCAAGUAGAGUCUGUUGCACAAAUGGAACAGCAGUGUUGAAUACAACUGUAGGGCUGCAAUUGAAUAACCCCAAAUUUCAUUGGAUUGAGCACAAUUUAGUUCUAAGUAAACAUGGAUGGCAUAGGAAAUGCAGAAUUGCAAUCCCAGUGCCAUUUUCUAGGAAAUUAGUCCUGUUUAACUCAACAGUGUUUACUUCUGAGUCAACAUGCAUAGAUUAUUUGACAUCAGGGCCCCUCCUGUAAAUAUUCUGUCAUCAAUCUGUCUGUGGGAGGAACUGUGAGUUUUUGUGAUAAACCAGACAUCUUAUGCAAGACUUGAAGAUAAAUCUCUACUUGUCAGGUUGGUAAUGGCUGAACAAGAAGCAAGCUCUUGGGCUUGCUGAUUGGAAGGUUGGCGGUUCGAAUCCUUGCAACAGGGUGAGCUCCCAUUGCUCUGUCCCAGCUUCUGCCCACCUAGCAGUUCAAAAGCACACCAGCGCAAGUAGAUAAAUAGGUACCGCUGCGACAGGAAGGUAAAUGCCAUUUCUGUGUGCUCUGGUUUCUGUCAUGGUCCUCCGUGCACCAGAAGCGGUUUAGUCACGCUGGCCACAGGAACCAAAAAGCUGUCUGUGGACAAACGCUGGCUCCCUUGGCCUGACGCAAGAUGAGCGCCACAACCCCCAUAGUUGCCUUUGACUGGACUUAACAGUCCAGGGGUCCUUUACCUUUCUAAACAGUCCAGGAGUCCUUUACCUUUCUAAACACCUUUUUAAAUGCCCCCCCGCUUGAGCCCAAGAGAGGGUUUAGUCCUUUUGCUUUCAAAACUCCUUCAUAACAGUACAUAAGUUAUUAAUCCAUAGCUUGGCUGUCCUCACAAACUCCUCCAGACCGUGCCUGGAGUCACCAUGCUCCCAUGUUCUCAGUCAAAGAAUCAACUAACAGAAUAGCCAGUCAACUCCUUUCCCCAUUACUGAGUAUUCUUUGUGAAAUACAUUUACAAUGCAAAUAUUAAUAGGAACCUCCCCAGCAUGGAGGUACUUUUCUCCUAGAUUUCAUCAGGGGGAGAGCAGAUGUUCCUGAGAAGAGGUUAAUCACUGCCACACUGUCAAAGCCAAGACACCACUAAUUAAUUGCCAAUGUGGUACCCUCCAGAUGUAGUGGAUUAGAACUCCCAUCAUCCCCAGUGAACAUUGCCAAUUUUCAGGAAUGAUGGGAGUUGUUGUCUAACAGCAUCUAGAAGGAACUGCAUUGGCCACCCCGGGAACAGAACAUGAGUAGGCAUCAAGCACAAGUUAAGAGAGUCUGUUCCAGUAUUCUAGGGUGGUAUAUCUAUAUGUAGUGAUUUGCUCUAAAUGUAAGAAACUUCAUUCGAACAUGCUAGAAAGCAUAAAUUGUAAAAAGGCAGGCUGGAACUAUGUUAAGUCAACAACAAUUAUGUGUCUGUUUCUUUAAAAAGAGUUAAUUUUGAGAGGACAUUAUGAGGAGGAAAAAUGGCCAUUGUGAAGGAUAUCAACCCACUCCCUUUCAAAUCGUAGUCAGUAUUUGCAAAUAUGUAAGUUUAUAGGUAAGACUACACUGCAAUGGAUUUUUAUUGAAACCAAUGAACGUUGAAUAAGUCAUAAAAAGAUUUAUUUUAGCUCUGACACUUUUAUAUAUCAUUUGGCCAUUCUGUUCACAGUGGAACACUCAUACCCAUGGCAGUGAAAGCACUUGAAAUACUUUAAAACAAAAUGAAGUAAGCUUUCUUUAUUAUCUAUUGAAAUGUUAUAUUUAAAUGCCGCACGUACACUUUUCUAGGAAAGAAAAGAAAUCACUCCCUCACUGUCCAGCUUCCCCAAAAGAAAAGAAAAAACACACCCAUGAAACAUCUGCCAGCGUUGUUGAAACAGAUGAACAUGCUUGUUCAAUCUGAUUGUACAAGUGUGACCUUUUCAUUGAGAGGUUGUUAAGAAAGUCUCGAGUAAAGUACUGUUUCCACCCCUUUCUACAUUCUCAUCUUUUUAGACAAUCCUUUUCAAUUAUAUGGUUGAAGAGGCAUGUUCCUGACAUUCUCUUUAUCUGAAUUCUCCUUAGCUGAGACCCCAAAGUUCCAAGUUUCCCAGUCUUGUUUUGGAAAGCAUUAAGAAUCCUCCAUUGAUCUGUUUAGUUCUAUUCAGGCUUUGUUACUCACCUUAUUAGAAUUGUGGGGGUGGGGAGCAGGGUAAAACUUCCUGCCCUUCUGUUGUUCCCUGAUGUCAUAAUGCAUAAGCUUGCUCCUCUAUUACUCUCAGCUCCCUCCACCUCAUCCGACAUUGUUCAGUGGGGACCACAACCAAGCCAUCACCUAUUCCCUUCAGAUUGGGAUACAUCAACUGCAGAGUACCUGGGGUACCCAACAGAGCAGGUAUUCAGACCUUGGGCAUCCUGGUCUUCUGUUAUGUCCCCAAAGAAUCAGCAUGAUUCUAUGAUACUUACAUUGUCAAAAUAUUGAUUCCUGUUCAUAGGUGGUUGGAGGGCAAGAGUGCUCAUAUGCGGCCAGAGUAUGGCUGCAUGGGCCAGUCACAAAAUCCCAUUAGCACUGGGUUUGCAAUAGUUCAGUAACUGAGCAGUUGUAAAAUACCUUUUUUCAACAUGGUUCAACCUUCGUCUCCUGAGGAGACUCCUCACCUGUUAAUGGUUUAUUAGGGUGGUAACCAUUUGGGGAUCUUGAAGGGCAAAUGCUGGCAUGCUUGGAUUUUGUGCUUUUCGGCAUUAUUGGCUGGAAGUGACCAUAGUUUGGUCGGAUAUUUUGCCCAGAAGGGUGUGGAGGGGAGAUGGUGACUCUAAAUGACAUAAUUAGGCAAGGGUGAAAGUGAAUGGGGAGAUCUGUAUCAACCUGCCUAGCAAUGAGGGCAACACUAUGCAUUAUCCUGAGAUGAAAUAUACAAGGACUGGUUCCCAUAAGCCGGGUGAAAUUCACUUGUCCAAUUGGAGCAAUGAUAUUUUCUUGGCAGCAUGACCUGCACAACUUUACUCAAGGCAGGUAGGGGGAGAGGGGCUAAGCUUUUCCUCUUCAGUGGCAGGUAAUGUGGGAAUCCAACAGGUAGAGUAAGGUUAGGAGAGCAAUAUAUAUAUAUAUAUAUAUAUAUAUAUAUAUAUAUAUAUAUAUAUAUAUAUAUAAAAUUUUUGCAUAUCAUUCCCAACUAUCAUAUGACAUAUUUUCUUACCUUAUACAAUAUUUUGGACUUUCAUCAACCACAUCUGAAGAUUUUUCAGUCUUUAUCACCUAGUCUACAUUUCUUAAUUUCCCUAUUACUUUUAAUCGUCCUUAACUAAUAACUCUCUUCAUAAUCUUCUUCUCUGCAAUAUUUCACAUAAUCCUCCUUACAAAACUUAUUGCAGUCCCACUAGCGUAAUCUGUUUAUUACCAUUGCUUUUCAAAUAGUUCAAAUAUUUACUCCAGUCCCUUGAGAAUCUCUGGUCCCGCAGGUUUCAGAUCCUUCCUGUCAUCUUGUCUAAUUCUACAUAGUCCAUUAAUUUCGUCUGCCAUUCUUCUUUCGUCGGUAAUUCUUCUUGUUUCCAUAGGAGAGCAUCCUUAGGCACCUUUAGAGGCAGAAAUCCUGAUGCUUCCUUCCAAUGUUGGGAGGCCUGUUGGCAUGGUAAGGAUCACCUGGGGGAACAGUAUUGUAGGAAAGGUCCUACAAGAUCAAGAAAGCCACCCUACUCACCCGAAUGAGUGGGGCUUAAGGGAGAGGGCAUAUCUCACUUGGAUUGGUAGUUGAUUAGUUACCUGCACAGAACCUCCCCUUGCAGACGUUGUUGUUUAGUCAUUUAGUCGUGUCCGACUCUUCAUGACCCCAUGGACCAGAGCACACCAGGCACUCCUGUCUUCCACAGCCUCCCGCAGUUUGGUCAAACUCAUGUUAGUAGCUUCGAGAACACUAUCCAACCAUAUUGUCCUCUGUCGUCCCCUUCUCCUUGUGCCCUCAAUCUUUCCCAACAUCAGGGGCUUUUCAUUUGUUUAUAAUUUGAAUAAAAUGUCCUUCAUUUUAACACACUUCACCUUGUGUCACAUCUUCUUAUUUCCAUGGUUACACUCGCAAUGCAACUAGUUUGCUUGCAGUUUAAUGAGAACAAUAUUGCAAAUGCUGAUUAACUUUGGAAAGUGUCCCAAAUUAUUUUUGCAUUCAUGCCCAUAAGGCCAGUUUGGUUAGAGUAGACAUUAUAGCUGUUACCUUAAGCUUUGUAUUAUUAGUGUGCAAAAAUAGUCUGCUCCUUUUUAUGUUUGUAAGCAAUAAUAUCACCUCAAGCAAACAUAGUGAUUUCAAUUAUCCUUAAGGCAAACUUUCAUGUUACAACUUAAUUAUGGCCUCAGUAGCAGCUUUUCAGCACCAUCUUCACAUUAGCAAAAUAUCUACUCUGUCCUAGUCCUAUUGUGCCAUUGCUACACCUUAUGCACAAGUCUCUAUUGGUACUUUUCCCCACAAUCAAAGAAUAAUGAAAAUAGUGAUGGGCAGUCAAUGUCUUUGCUCCUAGUUUGUAACUGAGCCAUUUAAAGCAUAUUCAUUUUGAGCAAUUUCACCAGAAAUACCAAAUUCUCUCUCUCUCUCUUUCUCUCUCUCUCUGUCUCUCUCUGUGUGUGUCCAAAGUUUGCAAGAUGUGUGGAUCCCAAAAUAUUUGAGUAGAUCUUUAGAAGCAGAGCAUAGACUAGAACCCUUUGGUUGGUUUCCAUGAUUAAUUGUCCCAUUGCCCUGCCCCAACAAUCUCUACAGAGAUUGCAGCCCUCUGUAGUUUUUAAAAAAUGUUUUUAAUGUUUAAUGUUUUGUUAUGUUUUUAUAUACCGUAUGCUGUGAGCUGCUCAGAGUGGCUGUGGCAACCCAGUCAUAUAGGUGGAGUACAAAUAAUAAAAUUAUUAUUAUUACAGAUUAUGGUGUUAUCAAAACGAUGACAGAACCUAAAGGUGCAUCAGACUUUAGCAUUCACAGUCUUUAAGAAAUGAACUCCAAAAAUAGGACCACAAAAGGGGAUCCUUCAAAUUGAAUAGAUGGACCUGAUUUGAAUCUAUUCCAUCAAUAUCUGGGCAAGGACAUUGCCUUGUGCUCAGGGUGUGGGGCGCUGUUUCCAAAUCCACAGCUCCAAAUGCUAUCUCAUUGCCUGAACUGUGACAAUGACCUCAGGGGGUGGGACAUACCAGCUCUGACGAGUCAAGAGGAGUAGUCAAUUGAUGCAGGUGCCAGGAACUAUUAGAGGACUAAGCAGUGAGCAAAGUGUAACCAUUUGUGUGGCGAGUUCCCGCCUCCCCCCUCAGAAAUAAAGACACAAGACGCCAGAGUUUAAGGUUAAUGGGUCAAAUUAGGCCCCAACUUAACUGAUUACAGGAAUUGAGCGGUAUUGGCUUAGGCAUUGGUCCUAUCAGCUAACCGGCUUCAGCCCGCUUGGUUGAAGACGGGCAAGGGUUAACCACCAGUAGGGGGAGUCCUGCUGAUGCACAUCAAGUAGGAGCUCCCCCGGGGUCACCGCUCGGGGGUGUGCCUUAGGCCCACACCUCCAUAGGCUUAGGACAAGGCCACGCCCCCCAGAAUCCUUUACCAGACUACCCUUCGAUUUGGGGGGAAGGUGAUGGCGCUUCCUUCCCCCCACCCUUGUUAUCUGCAUAACAACACCCCUACCAAUGCCUAACCACCAAUGCCCAGGAAGUUGUGACAUUUGCUACGAGGCAGGCAAAAAACCAAAUGGCUGGUGCCAAUUUGCCAAAUGGCAAAAAUUCCUACCAGGCCCCUUGACAGCGACCAACCAAAGUCCAUAGCAAUGUCAUAGAGCCUAACCUAACCGGUGGGUGGGAUGGGAAAACCCGAUCAGCUGGAGCACGGCAAGGAAAGAGUGAGAUCCUCGGCCGCGCUGGCGCUAAGUAGGGCGGGCCACGCCCCCUGGGCCAGCCGAUUGGCUGGCCAGGGGGAUAACGAGUUUGAGGAUUCCUCAGUAUCGCGGGGGCUGUACGCCAGCCCCCGCAUGCAUGGGGGAGGGGCGUGAAGCCCGCAACCCCACCUCCUCUCCCGCUCGGAAGUGGCUUUACUGACUUUAUUGAGGACAACCAUGCACGUCACUUUCCAAGCUUCCUCUUCAUCUGGAAUGUUUAAUUUUAUUGUGAGAGAAUGCAUUCUCGCAUUUCAAAGCACUAUUGUUCCGCAACAGAUGUUUAUGAAAAUCUUCUCUCUUGUAGUUACAUUGCAAAACAAUUAUAUCUGCGUGUAAAGGAAAAGCCUCGCUGCUAGGGAACUGUCAGUCACAGAGUAGGUUUUGUCUCACUGCAUUGAAGACUGAAAUGGCUGCACACUUUAAACAGGAUAGUUAGUUUGUUUAAUAUCAAUGGGCAUGUCUGGAUGCAACUGGAACCCUGAUGGAUCUCUCCCCAGGCAACUGCCAAUAGCCUAUAGCCCUGAUGGCUGCGCAUUGUUGUUGUUUAGUCGUUUAGUCGUGUCCGGCUCUUCGUGACCCCAUGGACCAGAGCACGCCAGGCACUCCUGUCUUCCACUGCCUCCCGCAGUUUGGUCAGACUCAUGCUGGUAGCUUCGAGAACACUGCCCAACCAUCUCGUCCUCUGUCGUCCCCUUCUCCUUGUGCCUUCCAUCUUUCCCAACAUCAGGGUCUUUUCCAGGGAGUCUUCUCUUCUCAUGAGGUGGCCAAAGUAUUGGAGCCUCAGCUUCAGGAUCUGUCCUUCCAGUGAGCACUCAGGGCUGAUUUCCUUCAGAAUGGAUAGGUUGGAUCUUCUUGCAGUCCACGGGACUCUCCAGAGUCUCCUCCAGCACCAUAAUUCAAAAGCAUCAAUUCUUCGGCGAUCAGCCUUCUUUAUGGUCCAGCUCCUACUUCCAUACAUCACUACUGGGAAAACCAUGGCUUUAACUAUACGGACCUUUGUUGGCAAGGUGAUGUCUCUGCUUUUUAAGAUGCUGUCUAGGUUUGCCAUCACCUUUCUCCCAAGGAGCAGGUGUCUUUUAAUUUCGUGACUGAUGUCACCAUCUGCAGUGAUCACGGAGCCCAAGAAAGUAAAAUCUCUCACUGCCUCCAUUUCUUCCCCUUCUAUUUGCCAUUACCUCCAAUAUUUGAGGAGUUUCACCUCUGAAUAUCAGCAGAUGGAAUCACAGGUGAGGUGAGUGCUGCUGUUUGUGCGCUCCUCAUUGGCGUCUAGUUGGUCACUGUGGGAACAGAAUGCUGAAUAAGUGAGCCUUUGGUCUGAUCUUAUGUUCACUGCAUGAUUCAUCCAAAUAUUUAUAUAUUAGCCCACCUAUUGCCAUGGCAAUUUGCUUUCCACAAUCCAGAAACAUUAUGUCUAGCAUUUUCCAUCCGGAGACUCUGUUUGAUGUGAAGGUCACUUGUGACCUUGAGAAAGGAGAUACUUUCCAAUUCUCAGAAAAUAGGAUACCGAUUACCAGUUGUACAUGCUGCAUUUCAGUUGCGUCGUAUUAAGAAUCUGUUAACCCUACUUCAAGUUAUUUCAAAAGAAAUUACCUUAAGUGCAUUCUCCCCUCUGCUCAGCUGGUCUCGUGGAAGCCGUAUAUUUCCUUCUCUAGAAAAUCGGUAUUUUGUCUUGAUUUAUAAGGCUUCGAUGUUAUCUCCUCAAAGGUAAUUUGAUUCCUGUCUAGCCACAAGGUGUAGUCGUUAAGAUCACUCUUUUUCAUAUCUGGCCUCUUAGCACAUUUCCACAAACCACCGUUCCUUCCAGCAUUGCCACUGCCUCAGCACAAUCAGAAUGAAAAAGAAAGAGAGAAAGAUGUAUUAGAAACCAUUCCUUUCCCCUGUCAUCCGGAUUAAGGCACAAAACAUAUUUUAAUGCUCACCGCCAGCAAAGGCACAGAGAUUGACUCAGCCUUUAAUUAGGGCUGCCUUGCAAAAGGAACCUUGCUAACACUCGGUGUAUUUUCACAAAAUAUGCUGCAUGUCCUGACCGUUAUAAGAAUGGAACAGUCUCUGGUUAUUAUUGUAGAAUAGAAUUGCGGUGAGUAAAUGAUCACACCAAAAUGACAGCCAUAAAACUUCAGCUGGAUGUUUUGACUAUUUACUAGACACUCAUCAUCGUAUUAUAUGUUGCAAACACAGGAUUGCCAAUACUGUGGUUGCGUUGUGACAUUGGCAGGGGAGAACUGGUGGUUAUGCCUUAUACUGGAAGUCAGACCAGUGACUUAUCUAGCUCAGAAUUGGCUAGACCAGACACCCAUAAACUGCUGCCAUCUUGAUGGUUUGGACUGCAGCUCUCAUUGGUCAUGUAUGCUUGAGCUUAUAAGCGUUGGAAUCAAACAACAUCUGGAGCAGUGUUUCCCAAACUUGGGUCUCCAGCUGUUUUUUACUACAGUUCCCAUCACCGCUGACCACUAGUACUGCUAGCUAGGGAUGGUGGGAGUUGUAGUCCAAAACAGCUGGAGAUCCAACUCCCAUUAUCCCUAGCUAGCAGGACCAGUGGUCAGGGAUGGUGGGAACUGUAGUCCAAAAACAGCUGGAGACCCAAGUUUGAUCUGGAGGGGACCAGAUCGGACAAGGCUGGUCUAUGAUGACUGGCAAUGGCUCUCCAGAUUUUCAGACAUGCAUAUUCCUUACACUACUUGGAACUGCCAGGAACUGAAGUUGGGAAUUUCUGAAUGCAAAGCAUGGUCUCUACCUCUAUACUCCUUCCUCUAAUUAAUGUGAAGCAUCUCUCCCUUGAUUCUCUGUUGCCAAUAACCACCAAUCCAUCACUACCACUUCCUCUUCAUUCAGACCUGUAGCUGAUUCUCUCCUAGAAUUCAAACAAUCCUCCUUCCCAUUGUAUUAUAUCUGGGCAAACCCAGGUUUGGUUUUUCCGAAGGUCACUGUAGUUUCUCUGUUAAAGCCACUUCCGACCUCGGGAGGAGGUGGUGUUGCAGGCUUCAUGCCCCCAACACGCCAGCGGGGGCUGGCUCUCAGCCUCCGUGCAAUUAGGGGAAUCCUUGACCGCAUCAUUCCCUGGCCAGCCAAUCGGCUGGCCCAGGGUGUGGGGCCUGCUCCAUAUAAGGCAGGCACAGCCAGGGAUCUCCCUCUUUGGCCACACUGACUCUCCGGUUUCCCACCCGCCCGCCCUCUAAGUUUCUCUUCCAACCUUGCUAUGGACCUCGGUUGGUCGCCGUUAAAGGGCCUGGUAGGAAUUUUUUCCACUUGGCAAAUUGGCACCAGCCAUUUGGUUUUUCGCCUACCUUGUAGCAAAUCGUCACAACUUCCUCGGUAUUGGUGGUUAGGCAUUGGUAAGGGAGGGUUAAGUGUAUGUGAGUGGGGGGGGGGAGAGGAAGCGCCAUCGCCUCCCCCCCCAGCAAAGGGUAGUCCGAUAAAGGACUCCGGGGGGCGUGGCCCCGUCCGAAGCCUAUGGAGGUGAGGGCCCAAGGCACGCCCCAAGUGGUGACCCCGGGGGAGUGCCUAGUUGAUUUGCAUCAGCAGGGCUCCCCCUGCUGGUGUUAACCCUUCCCAGUCUUCAAGCUAACAGGCUGAAGCCGGAUAGUUGGUUAGGACCAAUGCCUAAGCCAAUACCACUCAUCACCUGUAACCAAUAAAGUUGUGGCCUAAUUUUGCCCAUUAACCUAAAAUAACUGUGUCACGGGUCUUUAUUCCUACUGGGGGUAGGCGGGAACUCACCACACAAAGGGCAGCUAUCGUGUUCUCUCCAUAAGCACAACAGCUGAUCUCUCAACUCUAGGCUUACCUAAACCCCAGAGCUGCCUCAAAAAUAAUUUUUAAAAAGAUUAUCAAUAUUGGCCAUCCAUCAAUCAGUCCCCGCUGCAAUGCUUCCAAUAUUUACCGUAGAUGUUUAGUUUACCAGCAAACAGGGUUUCAUCCUCUAUCCCAACAACAGUGUUGUUCUGACACUUUUAAUAUUGGAAAUGACAAGAGUUUCUAUGUAAAGCUCUCUCGCAUUGCAACUGUACUUUAAUUUGUUUAACAAACAGUGUAAAUGUUGUUGUUGCUGUCAAGACUAAAGAAACUGUUGACCCAGAAAUAAAGAAGAAAAAAAAGGGGGGGGGAGAAAAGAAAGAAAAGCCAUAUGCUAAGAUGUAAGUUUUAUACAAGAGAAAUGUGCCAUAUGGCACUGGAUUUGCACCCCUGUCAAUGCCGCCUUGAAAGCAACCCAUGAAAUACGAUCAUUCAUAUCAUUGCUCCUGUCACUCCUAUUGGAAUCUGUGACAGCAAAGAAAGAAAAGUGACAAUGACGUGUAAUAAGGUUCUGUAGGACAAAAGAUACCUUAUACUACCAAGAGGAACGAACAACUGUAUUUAGAAGUCAAUUGCAGGUGGCAAUUAAGAGUGCAAAUGCUGUUUAUUAAUUGCCAUGUGCUCGUAAACAUGAUCUCUUUUCAGAAAAGAGUUGAUGACUCAUCGCUCACUUCCCUGGGUGUUCAAAGUGUUUAAAUACAAUGCGGCAGAUAAUUAUCAGCUUCCACCAAAUGUGCUUGUUAGUAGCACUGGAAUUAAUUUAGGUAUUAAUUAUGAAUGGUAUACCUUUGGGGAAAUGCAUCAAUCUAAACUAUAACACACCUGUCUUCAGGCACGUUGAUGCUGCAUCAAACUCUUUCGCAAAGGUUUGCCUUCCAAUAAUGCCAGCGCCUUGUAAAAGUAACCGUAAUCAUUGGGUGUUAACACAACAGUUCCUGCAGCAAACCUCCACAUUUAUAUAUUGCCCUAUCCCGUACGUUCAAGGCUCCUGGUAAUAUAUUUUCCUCUUCCUUAUUUUAUGCCUCCCUCUGAUAACUCCUUCCUACACAUGAUAGAUCUUUCUUUUUUAAGUGAUCUGAAGAUAAAUUGCGAACUAAAUGCCCUGCAUCUUAUUUGGAUUAACUUUUUGAGAAGGACGCCAGUUCUUUGUUGAAUUACACUAAGUGCAUCAGAAAACAUAAGAGCUUACAAUAUUGAAUCUGGAUCUUGUUAGUAUUUGUACUUCUACUGUAUUUAUUAGAAAUGGGAUCCUCCUUAAUGAGGGUCCUGGUUGUGCAUGGGCCCCUGAGACACCCCCCUGUUGGGUUGUAGGUGGGGGGGCAUGCCCCAGGCCUUGUCUGUGGGCCCCACAAUCAUGCCAGGCCGUUUGAGUCAAUCCGAUGCAGGUAACGUGAUGGGGGGCUUUAAAAGUGGCAGUGUGACAUAGCUGAGGCACUUGCUUUGCACUGCUGAACACCUGCUCUCCUGUCCCUAUUUGUUGGUGUUGCAGCUUUGGCCUUGCUUCGGAUAUUGGUUGGUCAGCCUGUUUUGGAACAGGGGCCAGGUAGGAAUUUUUUUUCCAUUUGGCAAAUUGGCACUGGCCACUUGGUUUUUGCCUACCCCCUUAGCAAUCAUCACAACUUUGUAAGGUUUGGCAGUUAGGCAUUGGCUUAGUGAGGUUUGUGGGAGGGGAGGUGCGGCCAUCACCUGCCCCUCCAUGAAUAAGGGUAUUCUGGUAAAGGAAUCUGGGGGUCCUGGAUCUCAUCCAAAGUCCGCUUGAGGAGCUAGGGCCAUGCCAGGACCACAGGAACCCUGGAGUGAGUAGUUGCUUUUCAUUGAUGUUGCUCCCUCGUUUGGUGUUUACUCUUCCAGACUACCUGCCAGAGAGGCAGGAGUCAGUUAUAGUCGGUUGCCAAUGCAUAAGCCAAUACCACUCACUUUGCUGUAAUCAAUAAAUCUGUGACCUAAAUUUUGCCCAAUAACUUAAACCAAAAUUACAUGUCAGUGUGAAGUUACUUACUUGAGGGAAGGGCUUGGGGCCCUCAGAGCGCAAAAUGUAUUUUGCAAAGAAUAAAUUGUAUUGGGGGAAAAGAAAACCCAUGCAACGUAAUGUAACAGCUGCAAAAUCUUCUGACUCCAAUCAAGGUCACAGAAAUGCUGAAUAUGUUACCUUUAAAAGUGAGUAUGUGUGUGUGUUAGGUCGUGAUAAAAGGGGUGGGAAUUAGAGAUUGGCUGGUUGUUGCACUGAGUUUUGCAGGCUCCACGAACAUGCUGCUCGGAGGAGCUGGUGAGGGCAGACAAGUUAUAAUUUAUGGACUGCUUCAAAGGAGUUUUAGAAGCAAGAAGACCCUCUCUUGGGCUCAAGAGAGUGAAAGACAUUGCAUUGGACUUUGUAUCUGCAAAACUGCUUUUAAUAGUUGCCAUCCUCCAAGGAAAGAGUCGUUUUAAAAGCCUUGUGUGAGGAGUCUAUUUCACGACUAGGGCUUCGAGGGUGAAACUGCUGCAUCAAUCUGUAUGACUCAGAAAAAAGAGAUCUGUUUCAGUUUCCCACAAUUUCCUGCCUUUGCUUAUGCAAGGUUAGGGGAGUCUCAAAAUGUGCCACUCCAAAUCUUUCUAUCUGGCCCUUGGGAGUUUCCCCAGGCCACGCCCCUCCCCAGCCACACCCACUUUCCCCAGGCCACACCCUUUACGAACUAUGCUUGACACCUUCCUUGAGUGUUUUUAGCUGGCUGGAGUGUGUCAUUGAACUCUGAUAAUGCCUCUUGCUCGUCCGGAUGAAGGAUAGAGAAGGGUGUCUGAGUGUGUGUAGAAACUAAUUGAAUGUACUAAGUUAGCAUUCACAUUCCUUUGGCUGCCCAUUUUUGCUUCCAGCCUCUCUUUCCACUAACAUCUGCUCCCUUGAAGAUAUUGUGGGUCUCAGGCUGAAACAGGGUUGCCCACCCAUGGCUUAGGCUUUUCAUCAUUAGGCAGAGUGAAGGUGGAUAUUGCGGGCAGCAUAUUUUGCCAAAUAUAUAUAUAUAUAUAUAUAUAUAUAUAUAUAUAUAUAUAUAUGCAUUCUUCAAAUGAAGAAUGAUAUAAUAAAUAAUCAUGAAUAAUAAUUUGGGAACUCCAAAUGUGUCAACCAUCCAUGAAUUUGGUCCUUCUGGUGUAUACCACUUCAAAUAAAAUGGAGAUAAUUCCUUUAGGAGUUUAGCAUCCUCACAAUAUCAUUAUUAUGCCUGACUUUAACUUUCUGUAUGUGUACAGAUUUCUGUUGCGGUUCAUUUCAAAGCUUUCAUGCUAAUGAUCUGUCUGAUUUAUUCCCCAGCUCAAAGUAUCUUUGCUUCACAAAUGGCAUUUUUGAAAAAUAAAUUCUAAUCCCAAUUGCUCACAAACUAUUCGAGAAGAAAGUUGCUUGUGUUCCUGUUCCGGAAGUCUAAUUGAAAUAAUAAAUAGUUCUGUUGUUGUUGUUUCUUUGUUUCUUUUUCUUUUCUUCUUUUUUUAAAAAACCUCUCUCCCUUUACCUCCUAGCCAGGAAAUAGAAGACAGUAGAUGUCCUCUUAUAAGAGCUUUAUAAGUAUCACAAAUUGCUGAUGAGAAAGAAAAAAAUGUGCAAUUAAAAACCCCCAAACAAAAUUGUGUUUCUCAGUCUAUGAAGCUCAGUAUACUUCUCUGCUUUCACAAUUAAAUUAAAGCCUUCUCUCACUGACUAAGAGUCUUCUAUCUUUAGUAAAAGCUCUCUUCAAACAUUCUGAUUCAAUACACAGUAAACGACACCCUGGGUGCUGUGGCUAGAGGAACAAACUCACUGGCUACAGUCAUAUCUCCAUCCCUAUAAGCUUCCCUGAGCUGGAGCUCCCUCACACAUACUAGAACCCUCAUUUUCCAUUAUUGUGAUUCUAUCAAAAUGCAUUGAAGCAUAUUGAAAUCUGGGUGUACACAAUGCAGAUUGUUGUUGUUGUUAUUUAGUCGUUUAGUCGUGUCUGACUCUUCGUGACCCCAUAGACCAGAGCACGCCAGGCACUCCUGUCUUCCACUGCCUCCCGCAGUUUGGUCAGACUCAUGUUUGUAGCUUCGAGAACACUGUCCAACCAGAUUAACAGAACACAAUUCUGGAUAAAAAUGUGCAAAGUUUAUAUGGACUUGAAAGAGUCAUCCAUCACCACGUCAAGAUUAAGAAAUACCACCCUGCCCCCUUUUGGAGAUCAACUGGUCCUCUUCUGUUUUAACGCUGAGACCAGGGUCUGCUCUGGAGGGAUUGGAUAUCUUUGAGGGCAAUGCUUUCUGUCAGAUGCCCCACUUGUGGGCUGAAGAGCCACAGUGCCCCUGCCCGUCACCAGUUGAGGUUCACUACAUGCAGAGACUUCCGGGUCAGCGCCAUUGGUGAAUGGCGGAGUUCCUCCGACCGGAGGAACGGGCUCCGUGGAAACUGGGUCUUCCCACCGCGGCGAAGGUGGGGACCCGCUAGAAAUCCCAGGCGGAGGAAGCCUGGGAACGUGGGGUUCGGCAGGGCACCAGAAGCUCCCCCCUACUCACGGGGAAUCCCAUCUAGGGGCUCCGGAGCGAAGUGGGGUGAGAAGCGCGGUGCUACGAACUGACUGCUACUUUCACGGAGUGAAGCCGCACAGCCAUUGCCAGAGAGCGCUGACUUUUCCUGUGGACAAUUGGACUUAAAACAAGUACCCGUGAGUAGAAACGGAAAAUUGGAUCAAGAAAUUGUUUAAUUUGGUAUCGAAGCGGGAAGGUGCAAACAGGAAGUCCGCCUUCCGCUUUUUGUAUAUAGACUAAAGCAAAAAUUUUGCAAGCUAAAGCCGGGAAGCUGUCAAAAAAGACUAAAUUUCCUUCAUUCAGAAUCACUGAAACCCCCCUUGGAAGCAGGAGAAAAGGGGGGGGGACUCUGUUUAAUCUUAGCAGGAGAGGGAGUGAAGAAGGAUAAGUUUCCACCGUCUCUAACCUGGGAACGGGGUGUCAGAGACAGAAACUGUUGGAGAGGUUCAUUGACUGUGAACGUAAUACUUUGACAGAUAGCUAAUGAAGAGAAACAAGUUGAUUCUAAUGUUGCCUUUUGCAUUUUAAAGAAACAAAAUACCUGAAAAACAUCUGAAAUAUUUGAAAAAUGAAAGUAACUUUCCUUUGUCUUAAAAAAAAAAUAUGGAUACAAAUAGAUUGUCUCCUCUAGAGGGAGCUUGCUAAAUUGUUGCUGUAGUAUAUUUGAGACCCAACAUCUGUGAGAUUAAGACCGUGGGAACAGUCUUUUCUGACCUUGAACAAAGAUGAGCUGGGAGGAAGACUGGGUGCUUGCUUUAUGCAAGACAAAUGCUUUGCUGGAACAGAUGCAUGAGAAGAUGGACUUGAUGAAUGAGAAAAUGGAUUUGACUGUUGUGGUUAAUAACUGUGGACAAACAGGGAACAUUGAUACAGAAAUCAUUCAGGAACCAAUCUAUGAAUCUGUACUGACUGGGCAAGUGCAGAUGACAAUGGAGGAGGAUGCGGCUGCACCUCAAAUAGUACAAAUGGAGAGACCCGAGGCCCUACAGGAGCAUAAGCCGCUGUUAUUGAAGAUUGAAGUUGGAGUGGGCCAAGGGAGUCUGGAGAUGAGGAGGUUCCUAGCUUUGGAGAGAUCUUGAAAUUUGAUUUUAAGUACAUUUUGGAUUAUAUCGAGGACUGUGGGGAGUGGGACUGUGGGGAAUGGGCGAGCUGGAUGAAGGGUGAUGGAGACAAUUUUGGCUUGGAAUCCCCCAGAGACCUACUGCUCAAUGAGAAAGGAAAGAAACUAAGACAGAGACCAACAAAAGACAAGGAAAAGGGCAAGCACAAACAAGAUGAAGAAGAAUUGCAGAAGGGACAUGGAAGAGACUUAAGGGCCUCGGACAUAAGGCUUCCAGGUUGAUGGACUAGAUGGAAUGGACAGUAAGGACUGACACGACCCGAGACCAGGAAGAAGAGACGCUGGAUGAUGAUUGGAAGAGAAUUUAUAAUGGGAAUUUUUUAUUUUAGAAUCAGCUUAAUGAAUAUUAGGGAAAAUGUGGGAAUGAAACUAUACGACUCUAGCAGAAAUGAUAUCAGGAGCUAUGUAUAUUUGAAAACUAAGAUUUAAGUCUUAAGGUACUUAGGGGUAAGAUAAGGUUAAAUAAAUUAAGGUAAUUUGAAUAACAGAAUAUGGGGAAAGAUGGAAAGGACUUGUUGAGUUAAUUAUUAGGUUAAAUUGUUAAAAUAAAUUUUAUAACAAAAAUUGAGAAAGAUGGAAAGAAUUUGCUGAAAUAAUUACUAAACUAGAAUACAAAAAGGGAGGUGUGAGGAGGUCAGUGAAACAAGCAAAUGGAAAUUAUGGAUAUGCAAUUUGGGAUUUGUGUUUUUUCCCCCCUUUUUUCUUCUUUUUUUACUUUCUUUUGCUGUAUUGUCGUAUUGGUCUUUAUAUUUUGUGCUUUUCUCUUUUUUUUUACUUUUUUCUUUCUUUUUGUAUUGUAGUGUUGUUUUUUGUUUUUUAUUUUUCUUGUAAUCCUGAAAUUAUCAAUAAAUAUUAUUUUUUUUAAAAAAAGAGGUUCACUACAUGCAAUGUGGUACAUCACAAUGUAGAGGAACCACUUAACUUGGAUAUCCUGAAUUCUUCAUCAACGAGCAGGUGAGCUAGUUGAUCAAUGAAUAUAUGCUCCGUGCCUGCACCAAAGCUUUCCAUCUGUAAUCAAGUUGCGUGUCGAGGUCUCCAAGCCACCCCUCAAAAUAAUUCACAAUUCACACAUAAUUUUUGUUUAAGGUUUUUGGCAUAAUUUUGGCCACAACUUUAUUAAAAUACAUAAUCUGUGAGUGGUUGCUUAGGCAUUGGUUAAGACUAUCUGUCCCCCCGCCUGGGAGAGAACUGACUUCCAAACUCCCUCGGAAGCCAGUGAAGGGAAAACAAUAUUGGGGAGCAGUUGAGCUGGGUCCCAGGCCCUCACUGCUCACCCAACCUGCUCCCUAGGGCUUGUUGGCCCUGGUCCCAUUUCAGGGAUUGGACGAAAUCGUGGCAAGCCCCUGGAUUCCUUUAACAGAAUUCCCUUCCACACCACCAUUGGAGGGGCAGGCCCAGCCUAUCCUGACCCCUCCUCCACCAAUUUUUAUAACCAAUGCCUAACCGCAACCUUACAAGUUGUGAUGAAUUGCUAAGUAGUAGGCAAAAACCAAAUGGCACCAGCCAAUCAGCCAAAUGGACAAAAUUCCUACUAGACCCCUGCCCCAACGGCAGACGACCCCAUGACAGGCAUAGCAAGGUAAACUCAGGGCGGGUGGGUGGGUGAUCCGAUGCACUCAGCGAAAGAGAAAGCAAAAGCUGAGUGCCCCAAUAUUUAAAGCCUUUGGUGCCACCCACCACAUUGCAACAUGCAAUUUGCCCCAGCAACCCAGCUAUCCAAUCGUUGCCCCAGGCCAGCUCACUUUACCUGCCUGGCAACAGAGGGUUGGCUUGGCAGACCCCACCGCAACACGUGCUCUCAUUUCAAGGACAACACGCUUUGUGGCCAAUUUUCCUCCAACACACAUCUCUGGGUAUUUAUUUGAUGUCUGCAUACCCCACCAUGGACUCACCAUUCCUGAGCCCACAAAACCUUCUCCCUGAGCCUAUUUUAUACCGUUCAAGCUAGAUGCAAGACAAAGGGAAAGCUCAGUCAAAGGUUUGCUUUAGCUUAUUAACCAGCAGCUUUUAUGUGCUGCAACUUGAGAUUCGUUGUACAUAAACUGCAAUGCCGCACUCAAGAGGACAUGCACACACAAAGUUGAUUGAAUGAUUGAUGGAUCCUGGGUCAUGUAAGUAGGGCAAGAUGAGUCUGGGGAUUUGGGGAAGUGUGUAAUACUUUAUGUUCCUGUCAAGAAACUCCAGAGCUUGAAAGUUGAAAGGCGUGGGCAGAAAGGCAGUGGAACAACAAUGGAAAGCCACAGGAUGUACUCAUCUCAGUGAGGGAAAUUAAGCAUUUAAUGUUUGGUUUAAUGAACUUAGGUGCAUUGUUUUGUCUUGUUUUAAGUAAGAGUAAAAAAAAUAAAAUUCUCACUUUUACUCAGAUUUGGAAACCAUUAUCUCAUUCCACAACAAGCUCUAAAUGAAAUUUGUUAAGUUUAUUGUACUAGUCAUGGAAAUUUAAUAAACUCUAUAGAAAAGUACAGGGACACGGGUGGCGCUAUGAGUUAAACCACAGAGCCUAGGACUUGCUGAUCAGAAGGUCAGCGGUUUGAAUCCCUGUGACAGGGUGAAUUCCCCUUGCUACGUCCCUGCUCCUGCCAACCUAGCAGUUUGAAAGCACGUCAAAGUGCAAGUAAAUAAAUAGGUACCGCUCUGGCGGGAAGGUAAAUGGCAUUUCUGUGCGCUGCUCUGGUUCUCCGGAAGCGGCUUAGUCAUGCUGGCCACAUGACCCGGAAGCUGUACGCCGGCUCCCUCAGCCAAUAAAGCGAGAUGAACACCGCAACCCCAGAGUCGGUCACGACUGGACCUAAUAGUCAGGGGUCCCUUUACCUUUUUUAGAAAAGUACUCAUCCGUUCCUCUAUUUAUUCUUUUCAACUUUAUCAUUCAGAAUUUGUAAACCAUUUAAUGGUAAAAGCCUCUACGUUGCUGACAUCAAAUAUGAAAUAUGUAUUAAAACUAUCAAUAGGAAGAAGAAAAACUACCUUACUGCCAAAGAAUCAGAGACCCAGGGCAACUCAUGGAGUUCACUAACUCCAUGACUGAAUGAGAACUGAAACACAGUUCUGUCCCAUCCCAGCACUUAAGUCUGGGUAUUUUGUAGAGUUGUAAGGAAAAAGGCAAUCUGACCCUAGGGAAACGAGGCAGAAUGACAGAACAACUCCUUCAACAUCUCCUUCUUCUCCUCCUUCUCUCUCCCUUUUCUUUUUUUUUGAUUUUUGGAGAGAAAACUCUCUUUAAAGCUCUCUCUGUUCUGAUUUCUUUUAAAGUCAAGCACCAGCACUAUGAUUUGGGUUAGAAAUCAAACAGGCAGCCACUGAAGUUAUUUCAAAAUGGAGGAAAUGGACUGUGCAAGUCAAAAUCUUGGCAGCUGCAUUCUGGUCUUAUUUAACCACUGGGGAUAGUGGUUCAUCGACCUGAACUUAGCCACCCCCACCUUCUAACCAGCCUGGAUGGUGGCUCUGGCUGUUACCUUGCUCAUCCUUAUGCUCUGUGUCGCAUUUAUAGAACUCAAUGGAGAGAAGAUUAUGGGGAUAAAACUAAGGUUAGAUGGCACUGCAUGAAAUGGGUUCUUUCUGAGCUUAUCGCUGGUUUCUCGCUCCUCCUACAAUUGACCUCCCUGCCUUCUGCCAAUGGACAGCAGCUACUACUGAAUUUAAACUUCUGAAAUAACCAGAUUACUAGGCGGUAUCUUUUUUUGUAUGGGGGGGGGAACUUGAGAAAUGUUAAAUUAUGGCCCCCCAAAAAUUAGCUCCUCACGGCAGAGGAGUUGUUGUUUUGAAAGCAUUUGUGUGCAAUUAUUGUCAGUGUUUUCUACCUGAGCAGCAAAGCAGAAAAUCCUGUCACUUGUUAAUAAAUGUGAAUCAUGAUAGAGAGCCUUGGAACAAAAAGGUCAAAAGCCUACCCUUCAUUUGUGAUCCCAUACUUUGGAAUGUUUAUUGCUCUUAAACUCAGACGGUGGGCAAGCGGAACGGCUCAUUUGCAAAGGAAAAUACGAAACCAUACAAUGCACCUGUGUGAAUGGGUGAAGCUUUGUGAACCAGAACUGAAAGCAGGGUGAAAACAGAGCACUGUGGGUCUGGAGGCUUUGUGGUGAUAUUUUUAACAUUGGAACAGAUGACGUGCCCCAUGUAAAAGAAGUGCAAUGGGAUGAAAUAAUCUGUAGGAGUUGAAAAGUUCAGGUGUUCAAGGGUUAUAAGAAAAUACAUUUUCCCCAUUCCCAUGUUGCUAAUGUAGAUGCUUCACCUUUCUCUCCAUUUAGCGUACACAAAUGUCCUCGGUUUGCGAACUUAAUCUGUUCCAGUAGUCCUUUCUUAAACAGAAAUCGUUCUUAAACCAAGGCGUGCUUUCCCUAAAGAGGCCUCCUGCUGCUGGUGCCCUUCCACCAUUUGGAUUCCAUUCUUAGACCGAGAAUGGAUCGUUCAUAAACAGGGCUGUUCUUAAACUGAGGUACCACUGUAUACUGAAGGGCAGAUAUUCAAUGGAAGACCGAAGGAACUUUGGAAAACUCAAGAAGUAUCAAGAAUAUAAGCUGAAGUGAAACAAACUCUUGUUUAAAAGGUAAAGGGACCCCGACCAUUAGGUCCAGUCGCGGACGACUCUGGGGUUGCGGCGCUCAUCUAACUUUACUGAGGGAGCUGGUGCGCAGCUUCUGGGUCAUGUGGCCAGCAUGACUAACCAGAGCAGUGCAUGGAAACGCCAUUUACCUUCCCGCUGGAGAAGUACCUAUUUAUCUACUUGCACUUCGUGCUUUCAAACUGCUAGGUUGGCAGGAGAAGGGACCAAGCAACGGGAGCUCACCCCAUCGCGGGGAUUCGAACCGCCGACCUUCUAAUCGGCAAGUCCUAGGCUCUGUGGUUUAACCCACAGCACCACCUGCGCAGCAUGGCUAUGAGGAGUGUCUGAAAGACAUCAAAUGUUAAGAAGACAUAAAUGGUCUUCACAGGUUUCGUUAAUGCUUUGCCAAUGAUCCACUGUGAGUGUUUUCUCUUGGGAUAAUUUGCAACAUGGGUUUGAUCUAUCAAUCUCUCUUCAUUGGGAAUGGAAAUGUAGAGACCUCUGGGGCCUUUUCUCAGUUCAGGAACUCCACAGCUAGGGAAUAGGGAAGGAAUCUAAUUCAUUUCACAUUUAAUAGCAAAUCUAUCAAAUCUGCAGUUCCUGAAAGAAUAUGAGAAUUAAAACACAGGCAUCUUUGGAAAUGUGCACUUAUCUGAAUUUUGUGAUGCAGUUCUCCAGCCAAACUAUCUAUGCUGCAGGGAAUUGUGCCUGAAAAUAAGAUAUGGGUGAAAAUAACAUAGAAAAGGGCAGCAUAUCAGGGGAAAUUGCUUGCAAAAUGUGUACAUUAGUCAGAACUACAUUAAAAAUGUGUUUAUGGGGAGAAAUCCACAGUAAAAUGCUGAUGAAUUUCUUGAGCAUUUUUUUUUAAAAAAAAAUUAAAAAUAUGAUGCAGAAAUGCAGAGAACCAAAUUUAAGAGUGGAAAAAUGAGAAACGGAGAGAACCAAAAUUGACAGAUUUUCCCAGCUGUGUCCACACUCUCACCAGCUAUGUCUCCUCCACCCACUGGUGGAGCAACGGGAGCGGACUACCUCCAGCACCACUAUUCUGGUAGGGUGCCAUUGCGGCAGCCCCCCCAACAUGCGCCAUGCACCUCCCCCAUGCUCUGGGCACCACGCCCCCACAGGUGGCACACCACACCCCCUAGAAUGUGCACCACGCCCAGCAGGUGGCGUACCAUGCCCCCGCGGUGUGCACCACGCCCCUGGGGCAUGCGCCACACCCCUGGGGGCGCCAGCCAUGCCCCUGCCUGCUCUCUGCCUCUGGUAGCAGAGCAUGCAGCUUCGCCACUGCCUCCACCACCAGUCCGCCCCUAGAACAGUUAGGGAGCCUUCCUAGUCUCACAUGACCCCCCUCCAAGGUUUAAUUAGACCUGGCUCUUACACACUUACAUGCAAAAACAUUUAUAAGGUCGUUGGUUUCUUUUGCCUUGCUCACAUGCAAAGAAGGACAGGGUUCUUGCACCUUUCACAGUUCUGUUAUUGCUGCAGAGAAUAUAAUGGGAUGAGGCUUUUCAUGGGGUAUACAGUAGCCCUAUAUCAUAUAGAUGGGCUAAUAUGACGGGCUGAUUCUAACAACAUAAUUUGAUCAACUUUGUCACCCAACAUUCCCAUAAAAUGAAGUUCCAUGAAUCUUGGGUGCCGAAUCUUCAGCAAGCAGCCAGAACACAUAAAUAUCUCCAUGGUAUGAAUUCCAUUCUUUUAAGACUCUGGUUCACCUUUCCACUCUGUCAAUAAAACCCUGAUUUGUUUAAAAGUUGUCAAAAGCAUCUUAAUUACUUGCUCAUCCGUUUAUCACUGUAAGACACUGAGAGCCAGCGCCGAGGGCCUUCUGGUGGUUCCCUCAUUGCGAAAAGUGAGGUUACAGGGAACCAGACAGAGGGCCUUCUCGGUAGUGGUGCCCACCCUAUGGAACACUCUCCCUUCAGAUGGGAAGGAAAUAAGCAGCUAUCCUAUCUUUAAAAGACAUCUGAAGGCAGCCCUGUUCAGGGAAGUUUUAAAUAUUUAAUGCUGUACUGUUUUUAACAUUUGAUUGGGAGCCGCCCAGAGUGGCUGGGGAAACUCAGCCAGAUGGGCGGGGUAUAAAUAAUAAAUUGUUAUUAUUAUUAUUAUUAUUAUUAUUAUUAUUAUUAUUAUUAAAGUCUGGGUCUAUGAAGCUUACAGCUGAGGAGGAGGCUUGGAUUGGUAGCCUUUAACCCUAAGCAAAGGAAAUCUCACACUUCCCAAAAGUGGAAGGAGAAAUGAAAUGGACAAAGGGAAUUCAGAGUGGGCGAAAUGGUACCGAGAAAAGUGAAUUAUGUGAGAAGGCAAGAUGCUUCUGGUAUGUAUAUGCCGCCUAGUUUUGUUAUGGAAAUACAAUGAAACAUUGUGCAUAUUUAUGGUAAAUCAGUACUCGGAAUGGAUCCUAGUCCUGCUUAAUGAUAGUAAACACACAGUUGCAUUCUAAGUGUUCAAGGUAAAAAAGAAAGAAAGGAGAUGUCAUUUCAAGUGCCUAUUUAUUACACAUUCAUUGUUCGCAGUAAAUAGCAUCUGUGGUUAUUAUAUCAAUCUUAUCAUAAACGCCAGUAAUUUGUAGGCAGGCAGAAUAGCUCAAACUGUGUUUCGGCAGCUGUGGUGGUGAAGAAAGGGGACGAAACACCAUCCCGGUGCAUUAAAAUUGCAUCAAGCCUCUCUUCCAUUCAUGUUUUACACUUUCCCCCCAUUCAUUUCUUCGUGGGUUUCUUGUUGUUUUUACUGCUGUUGUUCACACGGACGACGUGGAGAAAUGAUUCAUUACAUGAGAGAAUGCGGCCAUCUGUUUACUUGAAGCAGGAGCACAGUGCACAGGUUUUGGAUAAGUUCCAGAACCGGACUCAACAUAAAAAAGAACGAGAUAGUCUCUUGGUGUAGGCAGUUGUUCGUUGUAAACAUAGUUUUAAGUGUUCUAAUUAUUACUGUCAGUUAAUCUUUUUUCCUGUCUAUGGAUUGUCUCGGGCACUGGCAUCUAGGCUUUGCUGCAUCCCACAUGAAAUCUGGACUUAGUCAUGGCAUAUGUUAAGGGGCCUCUUCCUUCAUGAAGCAGAAACUGAGGAGACGAGGGCUGGUCUAGCUAAGACUGUGUUAGCCCCUCGAUUCCAAAAUUGCUCCCUUCACUCCUUUGCCAACCCAUAUAUUGUGGAGCUCUUAUUUUCCCCUGCUUCAGAGUUUAUUACUGAAAGGAGUAUCUCUCCUGGUUUCAGAAUGGUAAACGCUCAGAACUUUAGUCAGAAAUGUCAUACUGAUUCAUAAUAUAAACAGUGGUUUUCAUUGCCGGGUAAUAAAUAUGAGCUAUAAAAACCUAAAUGAGAGUAACAGCGCCAUAAAUUAUCAGUAUGUUAUGUUAUAAAUGUGGAAUAGUCUUUGAAGUGUUUUUUAUUGCUGAGACACAGCGUAUACACUAAAAAAAAGGGCUUUUUGUUAACAGUACUAUAAAAUAGCAGCGGAAAGGAAUGGAAGCCCAAAGAAAGCUUUCUAGACAGAAAUAAGCAAGACCCCCUUUCUCACAGCCUUAUUGUACUGUGCUUAUGGGGUAGAGAGUGUGCUGAGGCAAAUUUUUACGUUAAAAAUUCUGAAAAUGUUCUUUUGCAGGUGGGACUUUGAAAGAGGACAAUUUUGCACACACACACAAACACACACACAAUUAUCUGAAUAUUCUCCAACAUCUGUGAGGUGGCUUCCAUUUUUCCUCUACAGUUCCAUGGGGAAAAGUUAUGUUUGCUGUUGCUACUAUUAGUUUGCAGAAAAACCACCCCCACUGAGGGAAAAAUACUUAAAAGUAUUGAUGCCACCACUGCUGAUUAUUAUGAGCUUCUCACAACAAACUGUUGGAGAGUUUCACCUCCUUCCCUUGAAGAAUAUUUGAAAAAAAUCCAAAUUUCACUGCCUAUGAAUAGGAUUGAAAUUCUCAUCCCUUUCAUUCUCCCCCCCCAAAAAAAGUAUCCCCCCCUUUGAUAAAAUAGGGACAGCUUUCUACUACUUUCUUAGAGUGGACAGAAAUCUCUUUGAAAUGCUCAGGGAAAGGGUUGAUUAUAAGUUUCCCAGAUAAUUAACAUUCAAAUAAAAUAUAAGGGGCUUUCCUCACUGAGAAAACUAUUAUAACUGGAAAGAACAGGUCUUGGGUUUAUUCUGAUGCUUAUUGUGAGUCUGUCUAAGAAGGCAAAUUCUAUUCUUUCUCUUGGUAUUGAAACUACCCAUGUGAUAUUGCAAUGUGCUUUUCAAAUUACUUUGGUGCUGUUUGACUAGCUCAAGCAAAAGUUGGAUGUAUGGAAUUAACUGCAUGGAUCUUUGGACUGAGGCAUUAAAAUAGCAUUUGCUGCCAUAAGCUUCACUGGCAGGAAAAUACUACUGCUGCUGCUGCUGCUGUUGUUGUUGUUGUUGUUUUAAAAAGUAUUAGCAUUUUAUUUGUCUUGCCAUUUUAUCACAUUUUAAGUUCUUUUACAGGUUUAACAAUAGAGAACUGUUAGUAUACUUUCUGAAAUAUAGUUUUGAUGAUGUUUCAAACUUCUUGGACAUAAAUGAGGUUGGGUUAGAGUACGGCUUUGCCACCUUUCUUAUGGGUUAAUCAUUUGGCAUGGCAUGCGCUUGUUCCUCGUUUCUUCCCCUCCCCCUAUUUUGAAUUAAAUUUGCAAUAGCUUUCUAUUAAUCCAAAAUUACAAAUCAUUUUUCUGCAUAUAAGGAAAAUAAAACAGAAUAUAAAAGUUACAGAUCUUGAGAGGAUAUGGUAAUAAUAACAACAAGUUUCACCAGUACAAGAAAGUAGGAUAGUCAAGUUAAAGCAGGUAAGUAAUUCUGAUUGCCAAUGCCCUCUUGAUCUCUGUCCCUGUGAUCUGGAAAUGCAUCAGUCCAUGGCCCAAAAUGACAAUGCAGUUUCUCUUCUCUGGGUCCAGGUGGCAUCUGAGCCAAGGCUCCUAGAAAAUAUUGCUGUUGAUGACCUGUUGAAAAGCUCUCUGUAGCUAUGAUUUUUAUAUAUUUGGUGAUGAUGAAUCAGAGGAAUGUGGGAAGUUGCCUUAUACUGAGACAACACAUUGUCCCAUUGUGUUCAGUGUUGUUCUGGAAGGUUUAUCACCUGAUCAGAUUAGAUCAAGAGACAAAGCUGUUGUGGGGUUGCCAUGGCACAUUCUGCAACUUGGCAACCAACCCAUGGGUCACAUUUUAACUUUGAUCUACGCAUUGACUCAUAGCUUAUAGACUAGGCACAUGAGAUGAUCUUAUAGCAUCACAGAGUUGGAAGGGAUUUUUUGGCACUUCCUGCAACUUGGUGGGCUGCAUCGAACCCAUGGAUCAUGGGUUAACCUUGGGCUACAUACUGAUUCAUAGCUUGUAGACUAGGCAUAGUGGAUGAUGAUCUUAUAGAAUCAUAGAGUUGGAAGGGAACCUGAUGAUCAUCUAAUCCAGGCAUAGGCAAACUUGACCCUCCAGAUGUUUUGGGAUUACAACUCCCAUCAUCCCUAGCUAACAGGACCAGUGGUCAGGGAUGAUGGGAGUUGUAGUCCCAAAACAGCUGGAGGGCCAAGUUUGGCUAUGCCUGAUCUAAUCCAACCUCCUGCAAUGCAGGAAUAUGCAGCUGUCAAUAAUAAUAAUAAUAAUACAUUAUUUAUAACCUGUCCAUCUGGCUGGGCUUCCUAGCCACUCUGGGCGGCUUCCAACAAAAUAUUAAAAUGCAGUAAUGCAUCAAACAUUAAAAGAUGUCUUCUAAAAGGCUGGUAGUUCUUGUUCUCUUUGACAUCUGGUGGGAGGGUGUUCCACAGGAUAGGUGCCAUUACCGAGAAGGCCCUCUGCCUGGUUCCCUGUAAUGUGGCUUCUUGCACUAAGGGAACCGCCAGCAGGCCCUCAGUGCUGGACCUCAGUGUCCGGGUAGAAUGAUGGGGGUGGAGAUGCUCCUUCAGAUAUACUGGACCGAGGCCAUUUAGGGCUUUAAAGGUCAGAACCAACACUUUGAAUUGUACUCGGAAAUGUACUGGGAGCCAAUGUAGGUAUUUCAAGACACGUGUUAUGUGGUCUCGGCGGCCGCUCCCAGUCACCAGUCUAGCUGCCGUAUUCUGGAUUAGCUGUAGUUUCCGGGUCACCUUCAAAGGUAGCCCCACAAAGAGCACAUUGCAGUAGUCCAAGUGGGAGAUAACCAUAGCAUGCACCACUCUGGCGAGACAGUCUGCAGGCAGAUAAGAGUCUCAGCCUGUGUACCAGAUGGAGCUGGUAGACAGCUGCCCUGGACACAGAAUUGACCUGCGCCUCCAUGGACAGCUGCGAGCCCAAAAUGACUCCCAGGCUGCGUACCUGGUCCUUCAGGGGCACAGUUACCCCAUUCAGGACCAGGAGGGCCGCUUCCUGUCCCCCCAAAACAGUACUUCUGUCUUGUCCUUACGAGGAUUGAACCUGAAACCUUGGUGUUAUCUAACCAACUGAGCUCUUUUGUGCCAACUGCUGUUGAGGGUCUCCAGAAGAGGUCCCUGAGAUGCAAAGGAAUGCACCUGGAACUUUUGCACACAAAGAAUGUGAGCCAUAUCACAUUCUCCAAAGGGAAGCUGCUGUACCCAUGACAUCUCCCUGCAGGACAUCUAGAAACCCAAGGCAGAAUGUUGAGAAGUUACCUGAGUGUGAAUGAUAACUAAUUUGUGGAUGAGGGGGGAAAGAACCUUGGCUAACAUUUACAAGGCAGCUGCCUGGCACUUCUGGAAUAUCUCUCAAGCCGUUUAAAGGUACGAUAAGGCAGCCUUAGCCAGUGCUGUGCUUGGCAGGGCAGUACUGGAAGCAAUUUGUAUUACUCCUCUCCUUUUCUCUCUUUGGCACAGUUUUGAUUUUAUAUGCAUUUCCCCCCCCAUUUCCACACUUUGUUAAACAAAGUCAUACUUGGAUGGGCAUUUUGGUUUUGAUUUACAUGUCAAAUGGUGCUGAUUCUGAGAGCCGGCAAUUAUAAUUUAAACACAGGCAAACAAUAACACACGUCUAAAUGUGUCACCUUUGAAUGGCUUCUGAAAGAUGCUUAGCACCCAUUCAAACUCUCAGAAACUAGCAAAAGCCCCCUAGAGUCACUUUAAUAAUUUCAGAAGGUAAGAAGAGGGUCAAAUAUGAUGUCUGCUCUCUCACAUGGAAAGUUAUCACAUCAACAGAGUGUUUGGGGUCAGUGAGUAUUGAAACCUGCAGUUUCAAGUGGAACAGACCUAGGAAGACUGUAAUGUGUGUGAAUGAAUCCAAGGUUCUUCUGAGAAGAAGAAAAAGAGUUUGGAUUUGAUAUCCCGCUUUAUCACUACCCUAAGGAGUCUCGAAGCAGCUAACAUUCUCCUUUCCCUUCCUCCCCCGCAACAAACACUCUGUGAGGUGAGCGAGGCUGAGAGACUUCAGAGAAGUGUGACUAGCCCAAGGUCACCCAGCAGCUGCAUGUGGAGGAGCGGGGAAGUGAACCCGGUUCACCAGAUUAUGAGUCCACCGCUCUUAACCACUACACCACACUGGCUCUCUGGAAGAGUCUUGUGGAUGGCUGGGACAACCAUGAAUGUAGACAUCCGUGACACCCCUUAAGGCCACCAAAUGCUGCCCCAAAACUAAUUAAUGAGCUGCCAUCACUUGAUGUUGCUGGUUGUGGUUCGGUAUCCUCUAUCAAAACAAAAACAAACUGUGGACCCCAAGAUGUGUGGUCAAAGCCAUCCACUUGAAUUUAAUAAAGAACUCUGCAGUUAUUUGGUUAUAAACUAUGCAGAAAAAAGUCUUUAAAAGUGAAUUCCACUAAGGAAAUCAGAAACUUAUAGAAUUUGAAAUAUGAAGAAAAGACAAAAUAAUCCUAAGGCAUUGCUAAGGUUGGUUUUGGUUUUUUGGUUUUUGCCUGGCUUCUUGAUUUGAGACAGGACACACCUAUUUUGUUGAGUUCCAGAGAAAACAAAAUUUAAAUUCCUAAGUGAUCUUUUAAAAAGUCCUAAUGGCUCUGAACAGUGGCAUAGCAUAGGUUGCCAGUGCCUGGGGUGGGGGCUCAUGUGUGCCAGGUGAGGGGGGGCUGCUAGCUCAGCUCUUACCGCCGACACUGCUGGAGAGAGCUUAUCCCCACUGGAGAAAAUCAGGGCUGUGCUAAGCCUCCUAGUUUACGACACCGUCCCCAAUUGUGCUCCCAGGGCAAUAGCCCCCUGGCACCCACAAUGCUAUGCUCCUGGCUCCGAGCUCUCUCAGGAAGUAGUACGAUAUAAUUUCCUUUUCAAAGAUAGGAAACUAAGCCAACAGAACUUACUCUUUCACUCACUCAGACCUUACUAUCCAAUCAAAUGCAAAUAAUGUGUUACCCAAUCCAUUUGAGCACUGGAAAGCAGGGUCAAUGGGAAUAGGAGAUUGCCCUCCAAUCUGUGAACAGGCAAAUUGAUGUCACCACUUUCUUUGUUACUACCCCUCGUAUAUAGGUAUAUAUACCUAAACCACAUGUAGAAGCUGGCCCAAGAGAAAGCUUCUGGUCACAAGGAGAGAAAUGUGAGUUUUUUGUGACCUUUCGAGAAAUGGGGGAUUUUCACAGAUGGUUCCAAACCUAGUACAGUGGUACCUCGGGUUACGAACUUAAUUUGUUCCGAAGGUCCGUUCUUAACCCAAAACCGUUCUUAACCUGAGGUGCGCUUUCGUUAAUGGGGCCUCCCACUUCUGCUGCGCCGCCAGUGCACGAUUUCCCUUCUCAUCUUGGGGCAAAGUUCUCAACCCAAGGUACUACUUCCGGGAUAGUGGAGUUUGUAACCCGAAGUGUUUGUAACCCGAAGCGUUUGUAACUAGAGGUACCACUAGAAUUAGCUAUGGUGAAUUCUCAUCUGCAGACCCCCUACCCUUCAGGAAAUUAGGCAAAGAACACAACCCCAAAGACAACUCUAUCUACUGCACCUUGUAAUGUGGACUUGAAACACUGCGAAGAAGUUUGUUUCAAUUCCCCAGCUCUUUUAAAACUAUAUUCUUGAAUCAGUAAAUUAUGAAAAGCCCGGUGUUGCAUCACUUUGGAGAACUUUCAUAAUGAACUGCUGAGUUGCAUAUGAUGGGAGGCCGAUAGCUGCUUUCUGAACCUGCUGAAGAGUUCAAAUAUAGUCUAGGGUAGGCUGGCAAAGGCAUGGAUGAUAACCGCAAGAUCUGAAGCUGUGCAAAACUGCUGCCCCGUUCUCGCAAGAAAGGGAUGAUGAACUGUGUUUGCAUGUCUGGAGGCUUUCAAAACUGCUGCUGCUUCCGCCUUUUCCUGAGAUCCAUGACAGGAUAUUAUCUGCAUCCUUCGCUGUGUGUAGGUAGUCAGAAAGCAGAAAUUUAUGAGGGGAUUGCUUCAUUCUGGAGACAUCUCUGUUUUUUUCCUGAGGACAUUUGGGUCAUUAUUAAUAAAGAUCUAUUAGACACAUUGAUUGCCACUGUCUGCUUUUGGCAGCUAGUUAGAUGAUCCUCCUUUCCCUCAUAAAUAGUGUUGCUUCGGGCCUCUGGUAUAAAUAAGCAACGGGCACAUUAUUUAGGAGUUGGCUUUGUUAAGCUGUGUCAUAUCUUAUUAAAAGCAAGUCCCAACAAAUGAAUGCUGAAGCCUCGGCACUGCCAAUGAGUCAAUGGCUAGUGCCAAUCACCGUCAAAGCAACCUAUGGGUCCUCAGCACAUCUUUCCUCAUCAGAGAACAGCUUGAUUGCUAUUCUUAUGAGAGCCACUUACUUCCCCUCCCCAUUUCCACUCCAGCUACAAUACGAAACCCCAUAGGUAUCUGCUACACCACAAAUGAAUGAUGGAUUAAUUCCCCUGCAGUAGAAAUAUCUUACAAAAAACGGGUUCCCCAGGCUUGUAUUGAACUUUCAGGCUACCAGUCUUGCUUUGUAGGGAUUCGCUGGAAAGACUUCACCAUGGCAUGAUAAGGUACGGUGUGCUGAGGGAAAGCCUAAUUAGAUUUGACAUUUUAAUUGGAGAAUGAUAAAUGUCCUUCACCAAACUUUCUUGAAACUGUUCACAGGUGACUGAUUAUGGAGUAGCAUUAAUCCACUGUAGCCUCUAGGUAUCCUGUGGAAAUCUUCUUAGCUACAAGCUAGAGAACAUAAAACUUUUUUCAUCUACUUUUUGCAUCAGCAUGGAAGGCACAAUUUUGUCCGCACUAUCGUUGCUACUUAACAUGAUGAUUAAAGUAGAUUUGUUCUCCACCAUACAAGGUCUUGUUAUAUCUUCCUUAUCUUAUAAGACCUACAGAGAAUCCUGUGCACAGGGUGUAGCAAUUUGUUCUCCCAGCCACCUAAUGCAUUGCCAAGCGCAAAGGAGAUUUGAACUAUGAUUCUCACAUCAAAAGCAAACCCUUUGCUUAUCCUAAUGCAUUACACUGAUGUCUGUACCACAGGGUGAUUUUUCAUACUUCAUCAGACUUGGAACUGAAAGGAACACAUAGUGGCUAAAGGUCUAUGGGGCACAGGGAGCUUGUACAGUGGUACCUUGGUUCUCAAACUUAAUCUGUUCCGGAAGUCCAUUCCAAAACCAAAGCGUUCCAAAAGCAAGGCACUCUUUCCCAUAGAAAGUAAUGCAAAACGGAUUAAUGUUGCUUUGGACUUUGGAAAAAUCAACCCCUAAAACAGCAAUUUAACAUGAAUUUUACUCUCUAACGAGACCAUUGAUCCAUAAAUGAAAGCAAUAAUCAAUGAAUUGUACUAUAAAAUAGAGAAGACAGUAUUGUAGAUGAUAAAAUUUGAAAUUAAUUGAUAGUCAUUGUUUGGAUAGGGUUUUUAUCCAUUUCCACAGUCACACAAUCAAUCAAUAGCUGAACUGGGUUCCAUAGUGUCACAUUUCGGAAGUCAACCAGAUAAAGUUUGGUGCUCUUUUUUUUUUUUUUUGCUAUUUAUUUUGGGUUUUGGUUUUUGAGGCUUUUUCGGUUAAUUUGUUUUGUUUUGUCUUGAGCAGACAAGACCAUUGUGGGGUCCAACAGUCAAGAAGGUGGUUUCUACAUGAGCUGUAAAGGAAUGUGAGAGAUUUGGUCAAAUCCAGCACAUUGGCCUGUUGUUGUCAUUUAGUCGUUUAGUUGUGUCCAACUCUUUGUGACCCCAUGGACCAAAGCACGCCAGGCACUCCUGUCUUCCACUGCCUCCCACAGUUUGGUCAAACUCAUGCUGGUAGCUUCGAGAACAGUGUCCAACCAUCUCGUCCUCUGUCGUCCCCUUCUCCUUGUGCCCUCCAUCUUUCCCAACAUCAGGGUCUUUUCCAGGGAGUCUUCUCUUCUCAUGAGGUGCCUCAGCUUCAGGAUCUGUCCUUCCAGUGAGCACUUAGGGUUGAUUUCCUUAAGAAUGGAUAGGUUUGAUCUUCUUGCAGUCCAUGGGACUCUCAAGAGUCUCCUCCAGCACCAUAAUUCAAAAGCAUCAAUUCUUCGGCGAUCAGCCUUCUUUAUGGUCCAGCUCUCACUUCCAUACAUCACUACUGGGAAAGCCAUAGCUUUAACUAUACGGACCUUUGUUGGCAAGGUGAUGUCUCUGCUUUUUAAGAUGCUUUUUAAGAUGUUUGUCAUUGCUUUUCCCCCAAGAAGCAGGCAUCUCAUAUCAGGAGGGUGCUGUCAUGGCUCCAACCCACCACACCUGGAAUAACAUCCUAGCAAGGGGGAGGCUUUGCCCCAUCCAUUAGCCAGAAAAGCAGUAGCCGCAGGGAGUUUGCAUUACUCCUCCCUGCCAGAAAGUACCUGUAUUGGAACAUAUUCUGGAAGAUCUUUGUAUUUUGAGGUUAGGAAUGGUGCACAGCAAUUUCCCUUUUAAUGCCCAAGCACAGUUAUAGUACUGUAGGCUUGUAGACUGAAAAACUAGUAGCAUUGUCAGAAAAUCUGCUGGCUAUGGGGGCAACCCUCUCCAAUUCUGUUAAAGAAUUUAACUGAGCAAAAGAAAAAAAGAAUCCAAUUGAGGCUGACAAUAGCAAUUAUCCUGUUUAUCAGUGAAGUGUGAAACAUGCCCAUAUUCAGAGGCCUUUGGUGUGAACUACAGUAUACAUACCAAUGCUUUAGAUAUUCAGAAACAUCACCAGUUGUUAGCCAGCUAAACUGCUUGAUGUAAAUUUUCAACAGAUAACACCCACUUCAGUUUAUAUAUAAAUUAUGAUACUCACAAAACCAGCUGACGUAGCCAAACACACACAUUUAUUUAUUUUAAAGCAUCUUUCAAGUGAAAUCAUGUUCUCCUCCAGAAACAAAAUUGUAAAAUAUGCGAAUGCUAUGUUUUAUUCAUUACUUUCUCGUAAUCCCCUUAUCAACAGCCUAAAAUAAUGAGAAAGCAGAUCUAUGAAAUACAAUAGACCAGUCUUAACCGAAGUAAAGAUAUUAUGUCGCCAUUGCUAAACAUUGCUAAAAUGACAAAUCAUCUGCUAUCUCCAGGAUGGAUUGCCGCUUUUUCUACAGGGUGUAUUGUGCCGAAAUGCCCCUUAGUCAUUUGCUAUUUUUAUCUUCUGUUCUCCACUCAGUGUUUUCUAAAGAAAACAAAACAGGCUUAACCUUCAUAAUCUAACAUUCUAACAGGAAAAAAGAGAAAACUGUUAACACAUACUACCUUUUCUAGCAGUACAGAAGGAAUGGGGAGAACACCUUUCUAGUUUUUGGUUAAUUGGCUUCUUCUUCAGGUUGGCAAAUGAUCAACACAGCAUAGUCUUCAUCAUGUUUACUCAGAAGUAAGUCCCACUGAGUUCACUAAAGUUUACACCCAGGCAAGCAAUGCAGCCAGAAUCUCCAGAAGGAAGCUGUCUCUUCAGAGAGGUCCUAGCAAUAAAUUAUUAUUAACUAUAAAUUAUCAUCAUCAUCACCACCAUCACUAUCAUCUAAUUUUAUAUAUAUAUAUAUAUAUAUAUUUCAUUACACCCUGAAAGGGUCUUGAGAUGACUGAUCACCAGUUAGGAACUGCACAAUAUAUGUGUACAAUUAUAUUGCAAUUUAUUUAUUCAUUGUCAACUGAAAAGGAAGCUCACUUUGUCUUCUUAUGGUAUUUUUAAAGACAUGAUUUUAUUUUUUUCUACAGCAGAAAAAGAGAAACAUGGCUUCUCAAGCUGGACCCUUUUUGGAAGAGAGGUUGCCUCUAUCAAGCCACAUGGUAAGAGUUACAGCCUCCCCCACACACACACACACUUUUGCAACACCCACCCAUCACCGGAUGCAGCCCCUGAAAUGUUCCCCACUGAAGAACUUGAUCUUCAGACUGAAAAUGGGUCCCCAGUCUUGAAUCUCUAAUCCCAUGCAGGUAAUCAAGAAACAUCAGUUUAGCAAAAGACCAACUAAGAUGGCACCCAUGCUAUUGUACAUAAUCGGGAUUACCGUCUGGUUAGGAUCCCAUUUUGGUUGAGCUAACUGGUGUUUCCAUGUGAGGGCAUACAACCACUUUCAUUUGUGCAACCCUGAAAGCUUCAAAUAGGGCUGCCAAUGACACCAGCAUAUGUCUCUCCACCUCACAGCAGCAAUGGUUCAUACUGCCAAUGCUGGAACAAGGUCUCAGCUAGGAAAGCAUUGUGCCAGUACCCCAUGGAACUCAACAAGUGUUGGUCCUGACCUUUAAAGCCUUUAAAGCCCUAAAUGGCAUCUCCACCCCUAUUGUUCAGCCCAGACACUGAAGUCCACUUGCAAGUUUCUCACUGCAAGAAGUGAAGUUGCAGGGAACCAGGCAGAGAGCCUUCUUGGUAGUGGCACCCACCCUGUGGAACACCCUCCCAUCAUAUAUCAAGGAGAUAAAGAACUACACAACUUUUAGAAGACAUCUGAAGCCAGCCCUGUAUCAGGAAGCUUUUAAUAUUUGAUGUUUUAUUAUGUUUUAAUAUGCUGGAAGUCACCCAGAGUGGCUGGGGAAAACCAGCAAGAUGGGUGGAAUAUUAUUAUUAUUAUUAUUAUUAUUAUUAUUAUUAUUAUGCAACCACACUGGGCCAAAGGGGAUGUGUGUGGAAUCAGUUUUACAAAGAGAAAUCUGCAGCCUGCUGCAAUCUACUUCUUCUGCUUGUGUUCAUUCCCGUAAUCUUAAAAAAACCACAACACACCACAUCUUCCCAAAUUUCAGUUUCAUUGCAUUAUUUAUGGUAGAAUAAUGAAUGCAAUGCAGUUAAACUCCUACCUACGGGAGGUUUGUUUUUUGUUUUUAAUACACAAACACUUUAUCUUUGUGUUUUUCAAAAACCAUCGGGUUAAGGGUGUGUAAGUGAACAUAAAAAUUGUUUGUCAGCAUUCAGCGAAUGCUAUGAUAUUAAUCUCACUUUAAUGUGGUAGUGUAAAUCGACCCUAACAAGCUGAUCCAGCUGUUAAAUACAAAUUGGCAUAUAAAUGCUUACUCAGAAACUAUAAGACUUUUUAUUAUUUUGACUAAUGACUACUAAUUUGGGGUACUUGUCCUCUUGACCUUCAUGUUAUAUAUCAACAUGCCAGUCCUGGUCCAGUGUUUUUUUCAAUAUUCAUACCAGUGACUCUGGUGUAUAUUAAGCUUAUAAAGAUCACCAGUCUCACACGGUGUUCUUGUUCCAUGCAUGGAAGGGCCACUGUGUGCCUGAAACAACUCUUGGUACAUUCACAAUACCCCGUGGAGUUCUGGGUAUGGUGCCAAUCUAACCAUCAGUGUCUCACCUUGGCUGGGGGAGCAUGGCCUGGUGAUAGGGUGAAUGGGAAAAGUUUCAAGGGACAAACAGAAACUCUUGGGGCACAUAUUUGACCCUAGGCCUGAGAUUCCUCACCCUGAGCCACCCUGAGCCAAGACCUUUGGAAUUGUAUCCAGGAAUGAUUCGAAGGUGGAUUCAGAUGAGACAAUGUGAUGCAUUCACUAUAAACCCAGACACAAGCUUUGAGCACCUGGUAAAUUUCCAAAUGUUUUUCAAAGUUAAGGCUUGGCCAAAUUGCCCACCUCAUUUCCCCCAAAGUAUUAUCCUCCUGGAAAAACAGGAGCUAACCCCCCUCCCGCUAGUUUCUUGAAGGAUGGGGAAAAUAUCUCAGGAACGUUCUGUUAAGUUGUGGGUGAACAUAUCAGACGACACAGCGAUUCUUCCAAAGCAGCUCUUUAUUUGUAAGCUGGAACAGAACUGAACUGAGGAGCUCAGUCAGCCUGCUUAUAUAGAGCUCCACUAGAAUGCAACAGUAAACAUUUUCUGUAACUAGCCAAUCACUGAACGUCACUUUCGAUCCUUCAUUUGCAUACAAACUAUCCAAUCACUGAACGUCACUUUCAAUCCUUCAUUUGCAUAACUAUCUAUAGUAUCCCCCUGCUGGCCCAGGGUGAGAACUUCAGUACAUAACACGUUCAGGAGGUUAGGCUGCCAUUUACCAUCCUGAAUGUGACUAGGAAGUGUGGCUGCAGGAAGCAGUGGCGAGAACCACAUUCCAUUUCCCAAAAUGCCUUGGGGUUGGUUUCAUGUGAGGUGGUGUGGUGUGGUGUGGUGUGGUGUCAUGCCCUGGCCUUCCAUGAAGCUGUGGAGAGAGUCUUGUAUCACUGUAAGUAGUGUGGGGCUGCUCCUCCUUUUUAAGACAAGGGUUGGAGAAUGGAAAGCCCUAGGCCACCUCAUAAGGCUAAGUAAAGCAAGGAGCAACAUCUUCCAGGAAAUGUUCAGAUAAUUUCUUCCCAACUGCCCUCCGUUCUUUUUUUCAGGAGGGUUUCAUUUUGCCCCUAGUAGCUCAACAAAUGGAUAAAAGGCCCCCUCUCAAAAUGAUCAGCAGAUGCCUCCAGUACUCUAACCAUUUGAUCAUGACAAUCAUGAACUAGGGAAGAUCUGCCUUUUCCUGGAAGAGUAGUAGCAGGAGCAGGUCUGCAGCAGUGCAAAAGCAACAUGUUUGCUAAGUAGCCAAGUCUCCGCUGAAAAAUAUAUAAUGGACAGUGAGAAUUGGGUCCAUACAUAGGAAAGAAAUACAGAUAGGUACAUUGACCCUGAAUCUGUUCUGUGCACAAGAGAGGUGUGAUGCAUGCAGUAACCAAAGAGGAGGAGGAGGAGGAGAAGAAGAGGAAGAAGAAGAAGAAGAAGAAGAAGAAGAAGAAGAAGAAGAAGGUAAGAAGGUGAUAAAGGACCCCUGGACAGUUAAGUCCAGUUGAAUUCAACUAUGGGGUGCAGCGCUCAUCUCACUUUCAGGCCAAGGGAGCCAGCGUUUUUCCGCAGACAGCUUUCCGGGUCAAAUGGCCAGCAUGCUUAAACCACUUCCGGCUCAAUGGGACACCGUGACGGAAGCCAGAGCGCACAGAAACGUACAAAUAAUAAUAUUUAUACCGUGCCCAUCUGACUGGGUUGCCCCGGCCCCUCUGGGCAGCUUCCAACACAUAUAAAAAUAUAAUAAAAUAUUACACAUUACAAAGUUUCCCUAUAAAGGGUUGCCUUCAGAUGUCCUCUAAAUCUCAGAAGGCUUAUAGGAACUUGCCACAGGUGGAAUGCAGUGUGAAUCCUGAGGAUCGUGGUGAACACUUUUAGUUAGGUGACCUAUACAUUUAUAAGCAAGGAUAUAAUUACUGUUAUUAGUAGCGUGCGAAGCAAUCUGGAAAAUGAUGUUCCAGAAAGUCUUGAUUGGGCUAAAACAGGUGGCUUCUGGGGCAAGUGACUAUCUAAACUAUUUAGCUUUGGGGAAGGGAACUACAAACUACUGACCACUUGUUAAGCGGAUAUAUUUACCAGCAAGUGGAUAUGUGAGUUCUUGUCAGGGUGAUUCUUAACCUUGCAGUGGUGCAAUUUAGCAAGAUAACAUGCAAAGAGUAGUAAUUAGAGCUUCUACCUGGAAAUAUCCUUCCCUGCUACCGAAUGAAAAUUGAAAUUUCUGUCCAGAGCCAUCAUUACAUCCUUGUUGUGGUAAAUCCAAGGCUUUGAAUCCAUUAACCUUUCAUUGUAUGGCGCUACCAUCCAGUGCUAAAGAUUAGCUACUGACACAUUUAUCAAAGGAUGAUAAAUGAGCUGUCCUUUUAGAUGUCUGAUUAUUUGACCUUUAUUCAGUUAAAAGCAAAAGGAGCUGACGAUGUUAAGUGGCUGCCAGUUUAGAAUGAAAUUGAAACCUAGGAAAUGAAUGCUUGGAAUUGUCUUCAGUGGUGUGAAGUUAGGCCAUCAAUUUAAGUUUAAAUUAAACAAAACAAAAUCAGAUGUAAACCGUUAUUUCAUUAAUGCGGUUGUUAUGGAGAAAAACAGAAGUGCCAUGUUAUUUUAGACGGCCUUUCUCUUUCGCAGAGAACCAAAUCCAUUAAUGUUCCUGACUAUCACUUGGCAAGUCCUGAGUUCUAAAAACAACCUUAGGAAGAAAGUAAUUCCCCUCCCUGCCAUUAUGCACUUAAUAAGAGCUGUCUGACGAGAGAAGCACAUGAAACCACAACAUAAUAGUUUGUAGUUUUUAAACAGAAUGGAAAAUGCUAGCUGGCUCCAUGCUUGAUGCAGUUAAACAUCUCGAACCAUAUUAUCCAUCUUGCUUUAAGACUUGAUCGCAUUUCUAUUGACUGAAUCAAUUUCAUACACUUUCAUGGCAAUGGCCAAGGUUAAUCCGAUUAAUAAAUAAGAAUAACACUUUAAUUCUGUUUAUAGAGAUGAAAACAUGUUGAAUAAAUAGUCAAUAAUUAUGAAAAGCCUGUAGGACCUUUAUUAUUAGCUAGAGAUAAUAACACAAAACACAGACCUCCCCCCCCAAAAAAAUCUAUGUAGCUUUUUUAUGUUAAAAUAAUUAUCUAUGUUCUCACCGUUCCAGAAGCAUGCUGUAAUAUGCCCAGAGGAAGGAAGGCAUGGCACUGAACUGAGAUCCAUGGAAAUUUGCAUAGCCAAUGCAAAUGUGCAGGUUUUCAUUAAGAUACAUCUAUUCCCUGCCUAGAUGAGUAUUUUAUCUAAAUGAACUACAGUGCAUACAGAAAUUCUAUCAAGUUUAAUUUAAAAUGCUAUUAUGAAACUGAUAUGCAGCAUUGUUGCUAACCCAGGUGGUUAGUUAAAGCAGAGUAUCUCUGCAUUAAGAUACCGGCUUUAUUCAGAAGGAAAGAAAAAAAUAAAUCAAAACCAGGAAAGAUAACAAGGCCCAAUUUCACUCUUCAUGAGACCCUUGGAUGCAACAUAGCUCAUGGAAUUGUUGACCACUACUCAUGGUUUGUUGGAC